This 51079-nucleotide long non-coding RNA is filed under the name Vigna radiata. RNAcentral describes it as "long non-coding RNA (VRAD_LNC006351)". Lineage: Eukaryota; Viridiplantae; Streptophyta; Magnoliopsida; Fabales; Fabaceae. The record is from RNAcentral.
UUUUUUUUUUUUUUUUUUUGUCAAUGCCAUUCUAUUUUUUUAAAGUACCUAACGUUUUAAAUUAAUUGAUACUUUAAUAACUAAUUCAUAUUUAUUGUGAAGUAGAAAUAAUAAUAUAAAAGAAAAACUUUCAAACUUUUUAUGAAAAACAAAGAACAGUAUUUUUUUUAUUUGAGCAUACAAAAAAAAAAACAACACUUGAAAAUGAAACCCAAAUAAUAUAUAAAAUUGAUAUCAUAAAUACUUAUUUAAAAUGAAUAUGACUAUAUUAUAUUCAUAUUACGAUAAUGAUAUUUUGAAAAUAAUUUUUGACAAUUUUUUUAUAAUGAAAUAUUUAUCAUCAUUUUAUUUAUAUAUUUGAAUUUAUAUUUAAAAAAUAUUUAAAAAAAUUAAUUAUAAACUACCAUAUAUACAUUAGGAAAAGAAAUUGUUAAAAAAAAUUGUUGUUAAAAGAUAUUUUUCCUUCUUAUUGUUCACAUUAUCCUACGUUAAUGUGAAGUCAGAUAUGAGAGUGAGGAUGAAGGGGCAGUUAUUUGUCAGAGCAUUGAGCAUGGCAGGUCAGACAUACAUAUGCCACGUUUCUUCACGUUAGCCUCUUUCUCUCUGGGUUUUUCAAUUUCAGUUUUUUGCAAUGCUAUUACUGCUACCACCUACGUUCCCUUCUCAAACGCGCUUGCCUUUUCCCUCCACUCCCAAACUCAAGGUUGUGUCCGAAACAGAUGUCUUCCCUUCAUUUCUCCCUAAAGAAAUCCACAGAAUCAAAGACCCUUUUGCGAGAAACCUUGCUAAACGGAUUCAGAGACUUCCCGUUGCUGUAAAAAUUCUGCAUUUUCAUCAUUUCCACCUUCCAAUUUAUUUACUUAUUUACUAACUUAUGCUCUUUAUUUAUCGCCCCUUUUCAUAUUCAUUAUGCUUGUAUUCUAAUACAUAUGCUAACAUGUUGAGAUAUCCAAUAAUGAAAAUGAACCAUGUGAUGGAAUGAUUUGGGGUUUUGGAUGGUAUGCUUUGAACCAACUCUUUUGUUGAAUAAUUCCCUUAUCAUAUGUUGUUCACUUCCCAAUCAAUGGAAACUUUCCUUCAUUUCAUUAUAAAAUGUUCAAUAAUAAAUGGUAUGCCAAUUUUGUUUCACAUGCAAUUCUGUUCUACUCAUCAUUAGAUAUUCAAGUGGUCUCUUAGGCGGAACUCCAUCUGGAAACCCAAAAAUUUUAGUUCAAUGAUCAUCACAAUCAAAGAUUUUGGAUAAGGUGUGCUUACACAUGGAGAAAGAGUUAGGAAAAUUUCAUGUAGGACUGUCUGUCAAUGAGGUUUUAUAACAGGGAGAAUAAGGGAAGGAAAUGAUUAUGUUACGGAUAAGGAAGUGGAUGAGUGAAAAGUCUGCUAAAUGUGAAGAAAUAAAUAAAAUUGACACGAGGAUGGAAGUGGGGGAGGUGGUGAAAUAGUGUGUAAUAAGCAAAGAAGUAGCAGACAGAGAGAAAAAUAAAUCUAUAAUAAAUAUCUAAGUGGGGGAAAGAAAGAGUCAAGUUUUAGCAUGAAUGGCAGUAAGGAGAGCCUCUCAUAGUUAGUUAUCUUCAAAUAAAGAUUUUCAGUUCUUAUAAUUUGUAUUAUUUAUUGAUCCAUUUCUUUGAAGGCUACUCAUUGGCCCUUUAGAGUUUGGAUUGUUGUGGGUGGUGUUUUUUCUAUUUCCCUCUCAAUCACUCAACUCUUAAACUGAAUAGAAGCAAUGAUUUUUCAAAACAAUUCCUUUUUAUGGGCUGUUUGGCAAAAUUUUGAGCUUGUUCUCUUGAGAAAAUUACUCAAUAUUUACUAUUGCUCAUCAGUUAUUUCGUGUGACACAAUCAGGUUAGGUUCUUGGAAAAUCCUAUCAUGAGUAGUUGUGUGAAGCCGAUGAUGCAGAACAAGGAAAAUCCAAUUGUCCUACUUCAUGGCUUUGACAGGUGCUCAAAACAAGAAAGUGACAGAAUUUGUACAUUUUUAUGCACAAGUUACCUUUGGAUUUCAUUUCACUCCUUCUCAUUGUUCAGCUCAUGUUUAGAAUGGAGAUAUACAUAUCCAUUGCUUGAGGAAGCUGGUUAUGAGACAUGGGCUGUUGACAUUCUUGGUUGGGGUUUCUGUGAUCUAGGUUUGCUUUUCUACUUCUCCCAUCUUAUGUUCAUUCCUUUCUUUCACUUUAAUCAUGGAGUUUUCUCUUUUUCUUCUUAUCCAUCAGAAAAACUUCCUUCAUGUGAUGUGGUAUCAAAGCGUGAUCAUUUUUAUCAGGUAGUUAGGUGUUCAUCAGCCCAUCUUCUGAGGAAAUGGUUAUCUCCACAAAUUGACAAAUUUAUUUGCAUCUGUGCUUUACUUCCUAUUGUUUCAUUGUGUUGUGGGUGAAUUGGUGUUAUCUACCAGUUUUGGAAGUCCCACAUCAAAAAGGCAAUGAUAUUGGUUGGUCCAAGCCUUGGCUCUGCAGUUGUCAUUGAUUUUGCAAUCAAUUAUCCAGAAGCUGUAUGUGCUAUCCAACAAUUUAACUUCUGAAUAUUAACAUAUUUUAAAGGUUUCUUUUAUCAUAAGGCAAUUCUGUUGUGAUAUAGUAAUUUAUUUGAAGUUAAUUUUUUCAGGUGGAAAAGCUUGUUUUGAUUGAUGCUAGUGUGUAUGCAGAAGGAACAGGAAACCUAGCAACCUUACCUAAAGCAGCAGCGUAUGCUGGGGUGAGUAUAUCUCCAACUUUGCACAAGCCAUUGUCUAGAACAUCAUGUCUCUGUUUUUUUCAGCUGGAUAAAUCCAUGUGUUUUGAAUCAGGCAUAUCUAUUGAAGAGCAUUCCAUUACGCGUAUAUGCUAACUUUUUGUGCUUCACAAACUUGUCUUUCGGUACUAGCCUCGAUUGGACUAACGUGAGUUGCUAGAUCUUAUCGUUGUCAUUUUCUUUAGAUAAUGUGGCGUACAUAUGUGCAUUUGUUUUCAUUUUCAUAAUGCACCAUGAUCAACAUCACAAGCUUAAGCAUGUUUAUGUUCAUCACACACUCCCUCAGUGGCACUCAUUCACUGUCAUCUUUAGAUGUUGCAGAAUGAAGUUGCAUAACAUGGUCGUAUAAUCUUAAACAGGUGGGUCGCUUGCAUUGUUUAUUACCAUGGUGGGAGGAUGCCAUUGUUGAUUUUAUGACGAGCGGUGGUUAUAAUGUUGUCUCCCAGAUAAAAAAGGUAUUUUCACCCAUUAUCAGAUUUUUGGUGUCAUCAUGUUCUUAUACUAUUUGUUAUAAAAUCAUCAAUAAUUCUCUCUUAAUCAAUUUUUUUAAAAAAAAUAUUUUAAUGAAAAUUAGAGAAAGAAUAUUCAAUCCAUGUUAUGACAUAGUGCCCACCAUUGAUGAUGGAAGGACAGUUAGCAACACCAAACACCGAUAUUUGGAGCUUCAGAGUUCAAUUUGGAUUAUUCCAACAAAAUUAAAGAAAUCACAAUUUUGAGUAGUGGAUGGUGAAGAGAAAGUUAAAGAGAUAAAAGGAGUGAAUAGAGAGAAAGAUAGAAAGUUUAAAGGUUUGUUUAAGUUAACAAGAAAACAGAUUAAGAAAAAAGUAUUAUAUCCACAAUUCAAUUUUUAACAUUAGGGAUUCAUCAGGGAUUCAUCAUCUCUUUAUUAAGAAAAACAUUUAUAACCUAUAAUUGAUAACAAUAAUAAAAUGGAUUAUUAGUUAUAGUCUGUUUGUUCACAUUUUUUUUCUAAAAAAUUACCCCAUAUUUUCCAUAUAAAAAUCUAUUAUUUAUGUAACUGCAUGCAAUCUUUAACUUAAAUGACAUUUCUUAAAUUUUUAUUUAAAUUAAUCGUUUUAAUUUUAUCUUUUAACAUAAAAGAUAAAUGAAAAGGAAGUCUUAUCUCAAAACUCCAUUAGUGUGAGCAAGAACUAAAGAAAAGAUAAAAUGUAUUUCCAAAAACAAUCAAUCAUCAAAAUAAAAAUAACAUUAAAUUUAAUUUUUUUAUAUAAAUUAUCAUGAUUAGAAAGUUAACAUCCAUACACAUCACGUAUUUGUUGAUUAUAAAAUUCAUUCUCUAUUCUUAUCUAUCACUAGCUGACUUAGCUCAAGCGAAGAAUAAUGUGAUAAAUGGCAUUUUUAUGUCUGCAACUUCAUCAAUAUUUAGUUCCACAUUAAAUUUUUUUCCCCCAUAGUAAAUCGAUUUUAUCAUCUUUUUAAGGUAUACAUGGCUAUAAUUUCAAUUUUUUAUUUACAGGUCUUUAUGUUAUUAGGAACAGACUUAUGGUAAAUCUUUUCAUUCAUAGUUUUUUCAGUAAUUUCCAUUAAAAAUUCAUAUUCUUUUUGAGAGCGUGGAUUGAAGUGCUGCUAUAUACACUACAUCUCUUGCAUGGUUGUUGGCACGUGUCAGCUUUUUUUAUUUUAUGUUAAUGAUAAUUGAUGCAAUUUUGAACUCUCAUGUUUGGUAAGUUUUAUUCCUAUUAGUGUCUAACUUUGAAUAAGAAAUCUCACACCGGACAAACAAAGAACAAGUUGACUACGACAUAGAUAAGAAACAUAAAUUUUGAAUGCUUUAAGGUUGAGUUGAAUGUUGUACUAAAAUUUUUAGUUGGUGAAGAUGUCUCGAGUAUUUUUUUUUUCCCUCUCUUAUUCUCUACACUUUGUUUUUAACUUUCUUACUAUCUUUGGUUUGAAUUCAAGAUGAUCUCACACCUUAGAGAUAAAAUAAGGGUUCCAAAUAAAUAGAGUCGGUCACGCUUAAACUCAUACCAAAAUAACAAAAUAAAGGGUUUUCAUGUAUACACAUUUUAAUUUUAACAAGUAAAACAAGUAAAUUUUUAAAAAAUAAUAUCAGAACUAACUUUUUCAUAAUAAAUAGGGAGUUAUGUUUACAAAUUUUAAUUUUAAUAUUAUAAAAGUAGUUUAAAAAAUAUAAUUUUUUUUAGAAGAUAACUGUUAGACAUAAAUAAAGUUUUUUUUCAAUAAACUUUAAAUGAGCUCCACAUGUAGUUGUUAAAAUAGAAAGAUGCUUGAAAGGCUUUUUUUUUCCAACCACCUCUUGUCAAUAAAGGAUGGUGGGUUGUUGUUUCUCUAUCAUUAAGAUACUUUUACUCCUCCCAAGACUAUCAAGAGGACUAGUAGAUGGUGGUAUUGAGUGUGAUAGUGUUUUAAAUCAUUAUAAGAGAGUUUCGUAGAGUGCAACAAUGUUGUUUCGGUGGGGAAGGUCUCCCUAGUCUUCCUACACACUUUUCUAUCGUAAGCUGUCCGGUCUUCUGCUUCCCUUGACGAGUCCUCUUCUGAUGAAUGCUCUCGUUCGUUGGAUCCGGUCAGGUACCUGCUAAUGGUACUCCGACGCUCAAUAUUAGUUAAUGGGAUGAAAAGGUAGAGAUAGAGAGAGAAAAUGAAGUAAAUGUGCAUUCCAUGGAACCACCUACCUUUGACCCUGAACUCAUAUUCAUAGUUUUUCUCAUGGGCCAAUGAUUAACAAAGCCUUAAUCACGGCCCAAUAGUAGGUCUGUUAUAAUUAAUCUGGUUUUACCUUAAUCCUGAAAGCUUUACCAAAUUCUAAUUUCAUCCUUGGCCGGACGCGCCAGCCGUCCGUCACAACAGUUUUGGUGAGUAAUCUGUUCAAACUGGUACCAGAUCAACUCCUUUAUGCGAGCAUCCGUCGUUGAUCGUUGGUCAUCCGACGUACUGGCGGUCUGCCCGUACGGCGACUUGAGGGUUCAACGUCUUAGUCAUACCUGACGUUUCGUCUCUCAGCACUUUUUCGAAGAACAUUUUUUGUGAGCAUGGAGAAUGCGGUGUUAUCUUGUGCCGAUAGGGCUUCAUGUGAAUUCUUCAAGGUUUUUCUCACAAACAGAGGUUACACCCGGCCGCCGAGACCGGGCUUCACUGUUGUGUUUCCUCGGGUUUCGUUGCGUGCCGGUCAUCCUGACUAUCCCUACGACCGUCCAUCCCACUCCUUACAGUACAAAUGUGAAGCACACAUUGAAGGAGAAAAAAUAAAUAGAGAGUUUAUGGUAGUGUGUACCUAGAAGAAGAGAAGAAAAGUAGUGAAGCCACAUUAGAGUGUGCAUACCAUGGUUGUGAAGUAAAAACAAAAUAAUAGAAGUGUAAGUAUGUGUGUCAGCAAUGAAUAAAAUUAAGAGUUUGGGUUUCAAAGCAAAGUGUGCGUUUUUUUAUGUCUCAUUGAUAUCAAAUUGGUAUUAGAGUUGGUUAGAUCCAACAUUAGUUUUAUGAGUUUGUGAGAGAUUCAGUAAAAAGAAAAAAUUUGAGUGUGUGAGGAACAAGCAAGUUCUCAGUUUAUGAAAUUUGUAGAAUCUAUUGAAGAGAGAGAAAAAUGACCACAAAUUACAAUAUUGCUUGAUCUGGUCCCAAAUUAGAUAGGAAACUAGAUUACACUUAUUGGGCAUUAUUGAUGUCUACCCAUUUGAAGGCUCAUAAUAUUGGAGCUUUAUUGAACCAUGCUUUCAACAAGGAGCUGAUGAUACAACUUGGACAAAGGACCAGUUGGCGUUACCACAAAUUCUCCAAGGUGUAGACUAUUCAAUUUUUGAGAAGAUAGCAAAAGUCAAAAUAGCCAAAGAGGCCCUGAACAUUUUGUUAGUUUAUUAAGUGUUUCUUCUUGUAUAUUUUUCAUAUUACUCAUUUAUAGUUACGUUGAGAGUCCCAACUCAGACGGGUGAUAUCAUAACAAAUUCAACAUUAUAAGAGAAGUAGUUUUCUUCACUAAAUCAAUAUGCUUUGAUACAGAUAAAGCAGAAAACUCUAAUCAUUUGGGGGGAGAAUGACCGCAUAAUCAGCAAUAAGCUUGGUGUGGUAAGUUGGUACACAGCACAUUUUCCACUUUUCUGUUGAUCCUGGGAGAUUAUAUUUCCUAUCAAUGAUUGCAGUUAACUUACGAACUUCUACUGUUUCAGCGACUGCAUUGUGAAUUACCUGAUGCCAUUAUACGCCAAAUACCAGAUUGUGGUCACCUUCCUCAUGUUGAAAGACCAGAUUCUGUAUUCAAAUUGAUUGUUGAAUUUGUUCAGAGCAAGAGCACGACAGAAAAUGAAUGUGUUUCACCUUUGUGACAAGGAACCAUGCUUUAUUUUUCUAGUUGCACUUUUCAUUUGUCUUAGCUCUACUCUAAUACAAAAUAGAAACAAAAAAAGUACACACACCAUAGCAUUUUGUUAUGCCUUCAAUGCUUCAUGUUCACUCACGAUUUCUGAUUAUAUUAAUAUUCUACCAAUUAUCUUCAUUGUAUCAAAAUUGAGAUUAUGGUAACAUCAAAAUUAUUGUUAGGAUCUUAAAUGUAUACCUUAAUUGGGUUUUAUUAAUUGAAAUCUAUUCAGUUAAGAUAAUAAAGGGUGUAAUGAAAAAACAUUUUUAAUCCUUAAUUGGCUUUAAAUUGUCUUAAUUGGAAUUUUAUUUGUCAAGAAAUUAUGAACUUUUGAUCGCAUUAAUUUUAGUUGGGUAGUGUUAUAAUAAUAUAAAUUUUUGAUUAUAUUAAGUUUAAAUUUUAUUUAAAGUAAAUUCAUUCGUUCAAAACGAUGAAUAGGGGGUCUAACAGACAAUUUACCAAAAAUGACAAUCUAAAUGAUUUUAUGAUUUUCUUAAUCUUACUUUGCCACGAUCAUGGAUCAGAUCUAAAUAAAAAAUGCUAUGGAAAAUUCUGGAUCUUACAAAUUUACAAAUUAAAUAUUUAUUUUAACUAAGAUUAUUACAACCGUUGUUUUAUGUUGCAUUGAAGUUCUUUUUAAUGUUAAUCAGCUUUACUCGUUGACCCAAAGCACCAAACUAUGCCAUAUUUAAGAUUAUCAAUUUCUAAUGCUAAUUCAAAUUUGUUUGUGUUUUCGUGUUGAAAAUGGCAUUCCUAUUUUUUUAUGUCAUUAAUUUGGACGAAAGAACCUUAGAAAGCAAUAGAUCAUUGAAAAAUGUUUGUGACGGUGGCAACUGGCAACAUGAUUAUUGAUUCAGAAGUUAGCAAAAUACAUUAAUUGCUGUGACUUGGACUCUUCUUCUCUAUCUUUAGUUCAGAUUCUCUUAGUACGGUGUUACCAAAUAAGUUACAUAACCUCAAACAGGUUGGAAAUUCCAAAGAUAAAUCAUGUAACUAUUUGAUAAUAUUUUUAGAAAAUAAUACAAGAACUCAGUAUAAAAUAAUUUUUACGCACACACACACACGUAUAUAUACGUAUAUAUACAUAUAUAUAUAUAUAUAUAUAUAUUAAUCAUUUGAGUCAAACAAUAAUUUUAAAUAACAUUUUAUUAUUUCAGUUGCAUUUAACAGUAGAAAAACCAUGUGCUAUUUUUUUAUUUCAGAUUUGUCGGCUAUGCAUGGCAUGAUGUGAAACAAAUUUAUUCUCAGUUGGUGUUGUUGACUUUUAGAAGCAAUUACGUCCGAGGAAAAAAAAAUUGUUCCACCAUAUGAAUGAAACGACAUAGAAAAUUCAGAAAACUCACAAGUUAAAUCGUAUUAUUGAUGCAGGGACAUUUGAACCACCUUUGCUUUUUCUAUAAUAUAUGCACUGGUUGGCCUGUUGGGAACUUGGAAUUUUCAAAACCCCAUUAGCUUCAUAAUAAAGUAGCAAGAGUACCAUAUCACAGGCUCCUAUUUUACACCGAUUACUGUCAAAUCAGUUAAUGUGAUACUUGUAAAACAGAGGAAAAAAACUCUAAUGAUACCUCAGAAUAACGUUAGAAAUCUUAUUAAAGGAUAUACAAUAAGAGGUCCUACAUGGUUAAAAUGAAUGAACAAUGGCUUUACAUGCCAUUGAAAAAGGUUAAAAUGUGAGUGACAGAGACGUAGAGUAGCCAGCUAACAUGAAGUUGAAUGAUGAACAGAAUAGUUUAUAAAAAUGGGGUAGCCGGAUUCCAUUAAAUUAAAAAAUAGUGUCUGUCAUAGUCUUAGAUGUACAAAUGGAGAAAAGCCAAGUGCUACUUCCAACCCCUCAAUUGUAAUCAUAAUCAACAUAUAUCAGCACUAAACAAAGGAACCAAAUUCCUACUCUCUUUUUUCUCUUGCUAAGAAAAGAAACAAAAAGGGUAUGCUUGAAUUGCUUGUGGAUGAUUCCCAGAAGUAAAAUUACAUGAAAACCUCACAAGCUUUUCCAUGGUGGCACAGUACCUUUAGGCUACACCCUGAUUGCUAACCACAUGGUUAGCACAAAGAGCAGUAGCAACUCAGAGUUGGUGCCUCCCAAAUUAGCUCCAUUGCCACUCAAACCAGUUGUAGAUGUUGGACUUAUUCCAACUAUGGUAGGAGUACCAGGAGUUGUACCAGGUGGUGAUCCAGUUGGUGUUGUUCCUGCAUUGCUGCACCACAGUCAAAAUAAAAGGAGCAUCAAAACCUGUUUCAUUUUAUUAUAACCUUGGGUGAUUAAUUAAAUGUUGUACAUAAGUUUAGUCCUAAGAAAUGUUUGUGAAACAUCCUAAUCAUGCCAGUUCAUAUUUCAACAGAAUAAGUAAGUGUGACGUUGUUAUUAGAUAAACUUUCUGCAAGAAUGCAAUUCAGAAUUUCUGCUUCAGGGAGGUGAGUGCAUUAACCCAGAAGAGGGGAUUUUAGUACAUGAAACAAACUAGUUCCAGAGUCAUAUUGCCAGUUUUGGAAUUAAAACAAAUGAAUUCCAGUUUUUCAAAAUGCCUUUUGGAUUAUGCUAAGUGAAAUUUAGAUGCUAAUAAAAUAGGGUAUAAUGCUAAAAUUAUCCAAUGCCACCAUUCACCUCAAACACAAAAAAUGGAAACUAGAAAGAGACUUAAAAGGAACACAAAAGUGGGUUACAAGAAAAAACAUUUAUUAUUGGAUGGAAGAGCCCAACAGUCACCCAUAAAAUGCCAAGAAGAAAGGGUUUUUCAUCAAGAUUCCAACCUCACACUCGAUUGCCUCAAAAUUCCUUGAAUUUCCAAAGAACUUAACCGAUUAAAUGGAUGCAUGACAGAUAAAACGACAAGAAAUCAAAUGAGACACAUAAUAAUCAAAGAACACAUACCUAGGACUUGAGGGGUAGACACAUCCAGAUGAUGCCGCUGUAGAAAAAAAAAUGCACAAGAAAUAUAUGAGCAUUAAUAAAGUGAAAUUCUAGAACAUGUGGCCAAAAAAAGAUGCAUUUGGAAGUACACUUACCUGGUGGAUUUGCACUGGUUGUGGCAGCACCUGCAAAAUCACAUGUUCCUUGAGCAUUACCCUUUCUCUGGUAAUAGCUAUUAACUGCAUAAUUACAGUGAUCCUUCACAGUGUUGGGUUGGUAACAUGCUCCAUUUUGGAGAAUAGGGGAACAGUCAGCUCCGGCUCCACAAGCAUAAUCUAUUGCUUUCUGCAGGGCUUGAUCACCAACACCAUCUUUGCAUAAGCAGUAAAGAGCGCCUAUUGCAAAUCAAAAAAUCAGAAACAUAACAAAAAGGUUAUUUCAUACCAUAAGUCAAUUUAACAACAUGGGAAACAUGUUUUACAUAAAUAAAAAGGUCAAAACUCCUUUAGUCCUUAAAAUAAUUCCAAAAGCUUUCAUCUUUCUGCAGAACAGUGGAGAAGACCCUUUAUAGAAAAACCCCAAAACUAAAGCAAGGAAAAAGCCCAGGAACUGGAAUUCAUCAUAUGAACCCACCCCAGAAAACCAAAGGCCGUCCAUCACUUCUCAAAAGAACUUUUAAAAUCAAAUGUUGAGUCUUUAGAAGAAAGAUACAAGAAUCAGUGCAUGUACUUACUUGAAUGACGAGUCAGGGCCAGGAAAAGCACAAGAUACACAAAAAGAGCCAUAACUUGAGAACACUAUUUAUUUGCGACCAAUUGAAUGAGGCUGAUGGAGCUAUUUGUGUCAGAGGCAGAUAGAAAGCAAGGGAGAUGAAAAGAAUAAGCCUUGGGAGAAUAAUGCGUAUUUUCUAGGACAAGAAAAGACUAAUCUCUGUCAGAGGCACUAUUUAACUUGUUUGUGUUCUACAUUAUUAAAUUAUAUAUUUCAGUAACAGACAACGAAUGUGUGCGUUUUAUUGGAAAUUGUGUAUGUAUCACACAAUACACGUAGCUUUUUGGAGUUUUAAGUUGAACGGCUACUUUGUUUUCUGUCCUAUAUUUUGACUUGUACCAUCAUCUUGUGGUUUGAGUUGAAAGUUUUUGAGUGUGAAAGGGUAAUGGUUAUGGAAUGGAACAGUGCCAUGGGAGACUUGUCAUAAGAGAGGGUUUUUCAAAAUUUAAUGACACCACACAUAUUUUGAAAAUUAGGUCAGAAACUGAAGAGUUCAUUUUGUAACUACAAUUGAUAAUUCAUUAUUAGCAAAUUCUUUUUAAAAAUUAUUUUUCUCUAACAUAAUCGAUUAUCAUAAGUGAUAUUCGAUUAUUAGUGAACCUUUUUGCCAAUUUUAAAUUUGAUUGAGAUUAUCAUAAAGGUUUUUAGAAUAAUAAAUUUUUUCCUAAGUGCUCUAUUGUUUGGGUUUUUCCUAUUGAAUCUUAGUAUACUAAUGUAAAUAAAGUACACAAAUUACAAGACUUCAACUAAAUUCUUAAAUCUUCAAUGUAUUUCUUGAAUCCAAACAUUCUUUAAAUCUUGAGCACUUCUCUAUUCAUCUUAUUGAAGAACUGAGAUAAUAGGAUUAAUCAUGAAGGCGAGCUCUCCAACUUAUUCUCAUAGUAAGUUGGUUUUUUUACUUCUUUUCCUUUCUAUGUUUUAUCUUCCUUUUUAUGUAAACCAGUUGUGGUUGCAUGUGACAUCUAAGUGUUCUAUAAGACUCUUUAUUUAUUAGUGGUUAUAAUGGUAUGUCAUGAUCAUGUUUUUGUUGUUCAUAGGAGCAAAUAUAGUUUCUUAUGCUUUUGGAGCAGUUUUAGGCUUUUUAGAGUAUUUUGGUCAUCUAUCAGGUAAGUGAAACUAACUACCACUUUUUAAUGUUGUUGAUGUUUUGAUGAAAUGUGCUACAUGUUUGAUUUGGUCUAAAUUUGGUAGUUUGACAUGUAGUGUUUCUAUUGUGUUUGUUGUUGAAUAUUGCUUGUUUUUUGUUGAAAUUAAUGUUGAGUUGAGAAAUUGAGGAUAUGGUCAUUUGAGCAAAUUGAUAUUCAUUUUGACACCUAAACCUGUUUUUGAAACAAGCACUAAUUCAGGAAUAUCAAUUUGAUAAUCUGAAUAAGUCUUUGUUUACCAAAAUCAUAGUGUUGAAGUUGCUAAUUUCUGAUAUGUUGUUGAGCUACAUUGGUAUGGCAUUCAGCGCAAGCUUGUUUGUGAACGUCUAAGAGCAUUUUAGUUUCAGACCACUAAGCACUAGGUUUAUGUCGUUGAGCGACCAAAUGUGCAAAUGGUCUAGCAUUGAGCAGUGACGGAGUACCGUUGAGUUCCACUCUUUUCUAUAGAUCUAAAACCUCUUUCAUCUUGUUUCGUUGAGCGAUAGGUUGAUUUCCCUAAGACAAUUUGAGAGAGCUCUGGCAUUGAGUGCUAGAACUAACGUUGAGUGCGUCCCCAUUGUAAGAGGUUUUGUGUUGAGCGUCAGUUUGUGCAUUAUUGUGGUUUUUUGAAUUUUAUGAUUCUUUGUCUUAGUGAAGUGGUUUAUUUUUAUAUUCUAUGCAUGAUUAUUAUAGAUUUGAGAUUGAUUAUGGUGCUUAUGUAUGCUUGAUAUGUGUGAUGUUGUUUCUAUGGAUGGAGAAUAUGAUUUAAGAUGUUGUUGAGAGAAUUUCAAGGACAAAUUAUGUUAUGUGGUAACGUUAGUGUAUGCUUUGACAUAUGUGAGUUCUUAAAGUGAGGUAUCCUGAACUUUAAUAACUAUUCACACUCAAAUAGAGUAGAAUGAGUUAUUUGGUGAGAGUAACUAGUUAGAUCCUAGACGUGAAAGGGGAUUAUCCUCGUGAGUAGUAGGGUGAUAACCCCUUUGUUUAAGACUAUGCAAAAUAUAAAUACUACCACAAGUUCACACCUACAUUGAAUACAUAUGUCAAAUCAUGGACCCGAAUAAUUAAGUCUAGUUUUAACUGUUUUGUGUGUUGGUAUGAGUUAUUGUGUUUUAUAAAUGUUUAGAUUAAAUCUUUUGGUAUAUUAACUUAGGCAUAAUGGUUACUGGUUUGAAUUUUAAUUAUUAGUGAUUGCUAAAGUUAUUAUAGGGGAAAGGGUGAGAACGACCCAAGGGAGAGAGAAACAUCUAGAAAAGGUAAUACUAGCUAAUUUGAAUAAUUAUGCACUAUGGAUAUGUCUUACUUUAUGCAUACAGCUAGAGUCAUUAGUUAAUGGUUUUAAUGUGGAAAUUUAACUUUGUUAUGGUCAUUCAAUUCAGUGGAAUAAGAGUCCCGCGAAGAUUGGUUCUCACUUUGAUCCAAACAAUGAUUUGUUUGUUCCAAGAGAAAAGAUGUUAUCACUUUAACAAUUUUGAUAGUCAUGACUGCCUUGCUUGUAGGUUUGGGAUUUGUGAUGGGUCCAGUUCAAUUGCUUAAGCUUUAUGGCAUUCCGUAUGUUGUAAAUUCCUUAUCCUUUUCUAACUACGAACUAGAAACUUCAUUUAGAACAAGUCUUUUUUUUUUUUUUACUAACAACCAAUGGGUUUUAUCUUGUAUUCAAUUUGAUUUAGUUUUCUCUCCAUUAUUGUGUGUUCCUAAAAGAUACUAGACAUUUGUUAAUUAGAUCAUAGAAGAAGCUUUCUUGUUAUUAGUUGGAUCAAAAAUACAUGUAAUAGAGAAAACUCAUUAGUUUUAAUUUGCAGUAGAGAAUAUCAACAAGGAUGAUAUAUAUUAGGUACCAUGGAUAUCAAAGAUGCAUAAUUGGAAAAUGUUAUGUUGUACUACCUUUGAUUUACAUUUAGAGUGGCGAAAUUUUGUUAACUGCAAAGUCAAAUCUUUGUUAUUUUGUGGUUUGUAUUAUUAUUAUCUACAGGUUAAGGUUGUGUUUAUGAUUGGUGAAAAAUUGGAACAUAUUUUAGUAUCGAUAUUUUGUGAUAGUUGGGAUGGGUUCAUUAGGCAAUUGGAGAGUGUGUUAUCUUUGUCCAAUGGGUCGAGUGAGUUAGAGUUGUGGCUUUUCGUACAAAACGUGUCAAGCGACGCCCUUGUUCGUAUAGGCUUUGGAAGUAGCUACCAAGAAGGAAAAAGGUAUUUGAAAGCAAUUGACAACGAAAUAGGAACAUCAUUUAUGGGAAUCAUCAACUGAAGAUUGAAAGCAAUGGAAGCAGGGGAGCCUACGAACAAUCAAUUGUUAGGCAUAUUGUUGGAAUCAAAUUACAAGGAAUAUGAAAAAAAAAGUAGUGGUGGAAUAAGUUUAAGGGAAGUAGUUAAAAAAGUGAAGUUGUCUUACUUGACAGGGCAUGAAGCAAAUGUAGAGUUAAACUUAUCUCUCCUAAGGAUUUUGUUUAGGUUAUCAACAUUAGUCCAUAAGUUUUCAAUUGGCUUGAUACCGUGUAGGUUUUUAGUCAAUAUUGUAAUGUUCUUUAAACAUUGUGUAUUCUUUUUCUUAUAUUUACAUUGUAAUUGUUAAUGUAUUUUAUUUUAAAUUAUUAAUAAAAUUAAUUUUGAUUAAUUUCUAUGUACUUUACAAUUAUAUAUAUAUUAUUUAUUUUUCAUGAUAAAAAAACCAAUUUCAUUAAAUUAAUAAAUUAUGAACGUAAGUGGAUAAUUACAAAUAAAGGAGGUUUCAAACCUCCACAAAAUAAUAGUCACUAAUAUAAGAUGUUAAAAUCUUCCAUAAAAAAAGACUUCUAAAAUAUAAAUCCAAUACUAAGGUCACCAAAAACCUCUACAAAUCGAUUGUGGCGACUCUAUAGGUUAAGGUUUGAAAAACUACCAUAAAUUAAUUAACAAGGGUGAAAACCUUCACAAUUUUUUUUUUUGAAAAAAAUCUUCACUAAAUAGCAAUUUUUUGUAGUGUUAAUUUAUUCUUUUACUUUUGUUUAUUUGUUUGUCUUUCUUAUUUACAAUGAUCACCUAUUGUUGUAAAUAGGUAAAGAUGUUUUGGUUGAUUCGAUGUAAAGUAGAGGAGAUACUACAACUUAGAUUUAAAUUUGUUUUGUCUAAUAUAAUUCUUUUUCUUUUGAAAAAAAUAUAAUGUAUAUUAGAAUAUUUAUGUGUAACUUUAAUACAUGCUUCAUAGAUAACUAUAAUAUAAUAAUUAUAUCUAUAUCUCAUCCGUUAGAUUGAUUAUUAUCUUUACAAUAUUCAUUUUAACAGUUUUACACUAUUAAAAUCAAAGGUUACGUUACACUAAGUAUAAAUAUAUUAAUUUGAUAAACAUUGUAACCUAAACAUUAAUCUAUUAUUUUCUAAAAGAAUUUAUGGUAAGAGUGCUCAAAUCAAAUAGCCUAUUUUACCAAAAAUAAUUAACAUUUCAAAGGAUAUAUAAAGGAGUUAUUUUUAAGGCACGGUUUAAAUGGAUCUUACGUUCUCAAGUUAAUCUAUUUGCCUUUCACAAUCUAAUUCAUUCAUAAUUAUAAACUAAGAAAAGUAUCAUUUUUUCCAUUUUAAAAUCAAAUAACAAAACCAGCACAUAUAACCUUUUUCAUUUACUUUUAUUUUAAAUAAAAGUCAUUCUUUUUCUGAAAAUGUUAGAACCACCGACCAGCUCAUUUGCUGACAUGCUAAACAGAUAACCGUUGGAUAUUUACAAAGAAACGUCAAUAUGACAUGUUUGUUUAUAAAAUUUAAAUAUUAAAAUGACAGUUGAAUCUAAUUAAAUUUAAUAAGUUAAUUCUACUCGAUAAAUAAUUAAAUGCUUCACAUUAUUAUGAUAAAGAAACAAAACUUGAAUGAUUGACCGUUGUUGACUUUCAAGUUUGAAAUUUAUAAAAAUCCUAUAUAAUCAGUUUUAUGACCACCAUUCUUUUUAAAUGAAAACUUUAGAAUGUGAAAAAAAGAAAAACAAGUAUGCAGAGAAACAUAUAAUAAUUGACAAAAAAUUAAUACAUAAAUAAUAUUUUUAUAGUUAAAUAAUCACUAUAUGUGAAAACUGGCAAAUAAAUUAACUGGUAGAUUAUUAUAAACUAGUAUUUAAAUGAUAAAGUACUUGUUAAAUUAGAGUUUGACACUAAUAAAAAUUAGGUGGUAGUUUAUAAUUUUUCGAUUAGUUAAUUAAUUUAUAAAUUAGUUUAUCACUUUUUUCACAUUUAUUUUUCAAAUUUACUCUUUAAAUUAAAAUAAUUAUUUUAUCAAUUUUACCAUUUUUUUUAAAAUUUAAUUAUUUCUUUUUUUAAUUUAACCAUUUUUCUAAUUAUGAAACAAGCUAAUAAAUAAAUAAAAACUAUUUACAAUAAAAUUAUAAAGUUAUUUAUAUUUAAUUUUAUAAUUAUAAUAAUAACAAUAAUAGAACUUUUCUUAUCUUUUAUUAUCUUAAAAAGAAAAAAGUUAACACAUAGGAUUUCAUUUAUAGGGUUGCAUGUGUUUUUAUCAGUAUACAUAAAAGAACUUAAUAUCAAGACAUGCCGUUUUUACUAAUAUAUACGUUUUCAUUAAUUAAUAUAACUAUACAUACAUACAUACAUACAUAGAUACAUACAUAUAUAUAUAUAUAUAUAUAUAUAUAUAUAUAUAUAUAUAUAUAUAUAUAUAUAAAUAAAAGGAAGUUACAUCUUUUAAGUGUUUUUUUUUCGUUUUUCAAUUUUAUCCUUUUAAUUACUAUAUUUUAAAUUUAAAUAAUUAUUCAUAACUAAAAAAAUUAUUUUUCAAUUUUAUCAUUUUAAUAACUAUUUUUUAAAUUUAAAUAAUUAUUUAUUAUAAAAAAUAUUUACUCUUUUAUCAUUUUAGUAACUAUUUUUUCAAAUUUAAAUAAUUACUCAUAAUAUUAUUUGCAUAAUAAUAUUUUUUAUUUUAAUAAAUAAAAUUUAUUUUAUCUAUAAUUAUUCAUAUCUAUAUAAAUUUUUAUUUUUUCAAUUUUAUUCUUUUAAUUGCUACUUUUAAAAUUAAAAUAGUUUAUAAAUUUUAUAAAAUGUGUAUACACACGGACGAUAUUAAGAUAGUAUAUAUAAAAAGCAUUAGUUUUGUUAACUGAUUGAUUUUUUUCGUGUACACAUCUCUACUUAUUUUACCUUUAUUAAUAUAUAUUAUUUUAUUAAUUAUAUUCUUCUUUAAACUUUGAAUCUAUCUUUUAUAAUUACUUUUUAAAAAUAAUUUUUUUUUAUAAAUUUAAUACCAUUUUUAUUUUAAUAAAAAAUAAUUUUUAUUUUUUUUUAUAAUUACAUAAAAGUAGAUACAUGUAAUGUUAAAUCUCUCAUAUUCUUCACGGUUCAUUUAUGUGUUUUUCAGUUUUAGAAUUAAUGGUUCAAGGUGAGAAUCAGUGAUUAGAACAUGUUAUUUUGGUCAUUUGUAACUUGUUUGGGAUGAGAAUUAGUUGAUAUAUGUGUUAGAAUGGAGUGGUCUCAAGAUGGAAUGUUCACUUUGGUUUUGUCGUUACAAUGUAGAAGAGUUUUAUUUUGGUAAUGAGAUAGUAUAGUUGGAAACUGUGCUACUCAAGAGUGGAGAUCAGUAAAGCAAUGUGAAAUCUUCAUAAUGGAUGUGGUUAAAGGUGAACAAGAGCAUAACAGCUGGUAGUUAAAUCAGAAGUUGUAGUGAUUAAGUUAGUGGUAUGGAGGUUCUUAGAAAAAGCAAGAGGAGGUAAAAGAGUAUCAGUCAAGGGUUAAUCUGAAGUCAAGGCCAACAGAAGUUGUAGAAGAGAUUUAAAAUAUGGUUAGUUAUGUGAAAGAAAAGUUCUUAAGAGUUGAGGUUUAGGGGUUCAAAUUUGUUUUGAGAAUAAUGGCUAGACCAAUCUACACUAUUGAACACCAGAGCGUUUUAGCAUAGAGACAAGAUUUUUCAUGUUAGUAAGAUUUUUGGGGAGUUAUCUAUUUGUCAAAUAGGUGGUUGUGAUAGAAAAUGUGAGGAUAGUAAGUUGUUCCUUCUAUUUGAUAAGUGAAUUUUCGAGGACCAAUAUUUUUCUUGUUGGAGAGAAUGCAAAACCCCAGAAACUGUGGUGGUAGUCUAAAAAUAGUGAUACUCGAUUAUUUUAAUGUUAAAUGGUUUUAUUAUAAAUAGUUUUGUUAUAAACGAGUUUCAUUAUUUUAAAACUUAUCAUUUCUCUAGAAACCACUUUCUAGAGUUCUCUACCUUUUCUUUAAGAGUUCUAACUCCUAAGUGAUCUCUUUGACGAUUAGGAGGUACCUAAUCGACCACGACAAUGAGGCUUAUGUUUCUACCCGAUUAGUUUCUUCAAUAGACCAAGUAAGUUUCGACUCUUUUUUCCCUUUUCGUUCCCAAAUCUCUUUAUGAGGAAUAUUGUACUAUUACAUGUGUAAUCAUGCCUCCACUACUCGUUCUUGAUUUAUCUAGAGUUCUAAGGACUCUAUCCGUUUUCAAUUUGGUAUUUCGUAGGUUCGUCUAGGUAUUCCUUGCAGUUCAAGUAAUCGGCGGAGCGUUCUUAGAGUUGGGCAAUUUCUUUGAGAGGUAAGGCAAGCUAGUGUUUUAUCUUAGUUAAAUUAUGAUGUAUGAAUUGCUAUUUAAUGGUGUGUAUAACUAAUCUAUGUUGUUGGUGAUGUUAAAGAUUAUUGUUAUUAAGUAUUAAAUGUUUGAAAUGAUGGAAAUUGGUUGAAUGAUGUAGCGUACCUUGCUGUGCUCAUUUGGAAUUGACUAAUUUUCAUGAUUGCUUCUAUUGAAGUGCUUGAUGGUAUCAAUUUGGUUAGUAAGUUGAGAAUAAGUUAUAAGUGGUCUUCUAUAGUAAAAAUUGAGGUUUGAUAGGUGAAUUUUAGAAUUAAUGGUCUAAGGUGAGAAUUGGUGGUUAGAACGUGUUAUUUUGGUCAUUUGUAACCUUUUUGGGAUGAAAAUUAGUUGGUAUGUGUGUUAGAACGGAGUGGUAGUAAUUUUUGGAGUAAUUGUAAAGUUGUUUAAGUGUAUUUUGAGGGUUUGAAAUAGUGAGAUUUUGAAUUCUAGGUUCUGUGUCUAAGUGGUCAUUUUAGAGAAUGUUAGUAAGUCAUUUGGGACUUGUUGGAGCAUUUAAGUUGUUUAAAAACAAGCUAUAAUUGGUGGAAUUCAAUUUGAGUCUCUAAAAUAAGGUUUUGGUUAAUUUUAUAUUGAAAUCUUGUGGUUAAUUAGUUUAAAACGAGUUUAUGUUAGGUCAAUUUUAGUCUAAAAUACAUUUUAGGGGUGUUAGAAGUUGGAAAAGAUGCAUAGGACAAGUCAUGAGGGGUUGAAGUUGUAGAAAUAUACAGUCUCGCUAAGCGAGUGUGUGUCCACUGAACAAGCAUAACACUUCUAGCUGAGCGAGAGUUGUCACUGAGUGAGAGGUGAGCGAGCAUAGCCCACUGUUUUUGGUUUCAUUGAGCGAGUCUUGCUGCGUUGAGCGAGUGGGCUGACAGACAUUUUUAGUUGAGCGAACAGAAUUGGUGACUGAGAAAAAAUAUCAGAUUUUCAACUAUGUUUUUAUAUAUUUUCUUAAAGUUUGUGCAAUGUAUGUGAGUGUUUGAAUGAUUGGUUUCUACUACUUGUUGUGGAGUAUGAAUUGAUUUGUAAUAUGAAUUGGAAACAAGGAUAUGUAUGUGAUCAGUGAUGUUAUGUGUGGGAAUUCAAUGUGAAAGUAUAUGAAUAUAAGUAUGGUUUCAAAUGGAUUCAAUGUAAAGGUGAAGUGAUAUCAAUGGUUCCAAAGUUGUGAACAUGGGUUCCAUAGAGGAAUUCCUUCGGUAUGGUUUCAAGUAUUGAUAACAUGAAUGACUAGAGUUAAGCUGGGGUUUAUCCUGACAUUCUAAUGAUCAUCCAUGCUCAAGUAGAGAGUGAUGAGUCGUGUGGUGAGAAUAGCUGGAGGUGCUAGUCUAGGGGCUUUACCUUGGCUUAAAGCAAGUGAUAACGAACUAACCUGGUGUGGUAGCUUGUGAUAGUCCAGCUGUUCCACCACACCAGUGCAGGAACCUUUGUAACUCAACAUUCCAUCCAAUGUUCGGAUUAGUCAGUCUAGGUCUUUGCAUGUUAAGAUGUUUGGGUUGAUGUAUGUUAUAUGUGAUUCAUGUUUGCUAUGUUCUAAAUAUUAUAUGAUUUGUUUUGUAUCAUUAGUUUACCCUUGCUUUUGUGUUGUUUGUUUGUGUUAUUUUUUUCUUUGCAAUGAUCACCUUAAUGGUAUGAGCUUAAGGAUAUAGUCUUUUCAGUUGUCUCAGCGUGAGAUUGGGAGUGAAGCAAUAGUUUCUUUUGUUCUCCAUGUGAAGAAUUUUUUUCAUCACAUAUCUGUAAUUCUUGUUCUAUCACAUAUAUGUAAUGUUUAUUUUAAUAGUUUUAUACUAUUAAAAUGGAAUGUUACAUAUAACAUAGAAAUAUUAAAUAUACACACUAAACGGAAAAAUUCCUAAUUCUUAUUAAAAAAAAAUUAAUGUUUCCAUUUAUUUUUAAAAAAUUGUAUCUUAUUUUUUAUUUGAAAAAGUUAUUUUUAUCUAAACUAGUUAAUUUAACAAGUAUUACUCAAAUUUAAUUUUUACUUAUUUUUAGAAAUUAAAAUAUUUUAUUUACCAAUCUAUAUAACUUACUACUUACAUUAAAUUUAUUUCUUAAAAUAUUUAUUUUGUAUUUCCUUACCUCGUCAUAUAUUAAAAUUAGUUAUGCUAAUGUUAAUUGUUUUAAAUUUAAACUUAUCCAUAAAAAAUUAGAAAGUAAUCUAACAUAAAUAAAAAUAUAACAAUUAAUUGUCUAAAAAAACAUGUUAUAAUAAGUAAAACAUAAAUUUGAGGGAAUAAAAAACUUAUUAAAAUAUAGAAAAUAAUAAUAUAAGAAAAUUCAAUAAAUUAAAAAAUUGUUUUAAUUAAAGUAACUUGUAGUAUACAUUUUUUAAAGUAAACUAUUUUAAACAUUUUACCAAAUACUUACGUAUUGAUGAAGUUAACUUACAUGUAAAUCCCAUAAAUUAAUAAUAUCUUAUUCAAAAUAUCAAAUACACCAUAUAAAAAUCACUAGCCUUUUGGAAAGCAACACAGUUUUUAUAUGGUAAUUAAAAUUGGAAAAAGAUAUUUUUAACACAUUUUUUAAAUUAAAAAAUAAACUUUAAUUUUUUUCUUCCAAAUAUACUCCUCGUCCAAUCACAUUUUGACACAUGUGCAGUGUCAAAAUAGAGUCAAAAAAUGAUGUUAAAAUAUCAUUUUCCAUUAAAAUUAUAAAAAUGUAUUUUAAAAACCAAAAUUUUAAUAUCAACGUCAAUCUAAUGAAAUAUUUAUCCAUUAUGCGUGAUUGAAAUUCUUAAAAUCAAUCACGAUUUUAAUUUAAAUAAAAAAAAUAGAGGUUUAAAACAAUAACAUUAAUGAUGUAUGUUCAAUCGUGAUAAAGAGGUAUUCUAAUAUGAUAGAAGAGAAACAUCUGCAGCAUGGAGGAAGAAAAUGGAAAGAGAGGAACCGCCAUAGUCGGAGAAGGAAGAAGCUCAUUUUCGUUUUUCAUGGCCCAAGUGCAAAAUUACGAGAAACAUGAUUUAAGUCUCAAAAAAACAGAAAUUCUGAGUAAAAUAUGUAAAUUAUCCAUUACUACAAUUGAGAAGUUUAAGAUAUAAGGAAUGUAAACUAAAAAUAAAAGCCGCAAGUAGAACUUUUCUAGCAUUGUUUGUAUGCAACGAAAGCACAAUAACUAUGAAGUAGCUAUAAUCUGCAUUUUCUGCUCCAAAUGAACUGCAAUGCUUCAGACGCAGACGUAUCUUAUCUUCAGUGCUGUAAAACAAACAAAAAGAAAUGUCAACGGAAAUUAUAAAUACCAAUAGUGCAUCAAAAUUUUUGAGCUAGUAAACCAUGAUUUCUGUUUGACCAAAAAUGAAAAUUAACUGAUAUUAAUUGAAGCAUUGACUAACUUACCAUUCCAAUGCAAGCAUUUCUUAACCGAGUUAAUUGUUGAGCUAGAAAAUCAUGAUGGCUUUUUGACCAAAAGAAAAUUACUAGGCAUUGAUUAAAACGUUGACAAUCCUACUCUAGCUCACACCCUUUUUCAUUACAGAACAUCGUUCCUUUUAACUUCGGAUUGAAACCAUUUGAUACAACACACUCACAGAAAUAAUGCAAAACAUAGUUGAAAAAAAUUUUAUACUCAAACCUCAGGAGCAGCAGGUUUGAUUUCUUCUGGUUUGAUUUCAUCACCUGCAUGAGUGUUAAUGAAGUGUUUAGAGUGAGCAUGUGUUUAUGUAUGAGUAUUACUCUUGUAAAUCCUCAUUAUCGAGAAAGAAAUUAUUAGCAUAUAUACUUCUGAAGAAUACUUGUGUUGCACAGUAAUUAAAAACCUAAAUUCUGAGUGCAGUUUAUUUUAUGAUACAAGGAAGACAAAGAAGAUUUUACUAAUAACAAGUAGCUCUAGAAAAAAGGGUGAAAUUCAAAGGCAAGCAACUAAUUCCUUUCACUUUACUCUAAUGUGAUUUUCCUUCAAAGUUUCCAAGAGAGAGAGAGAGAGAGAGAGUAGUUGGCUAUGGUGACACUGCAUAUCAAUCUCUUUCUAUCUGUGUGAGACAUAAUCAUUUCUCCAAAAGUAAGACUUACUACAAUAAGUAGUGAAAAGGGGUUUAAAUUUAUUGAUGAAUACGAUUUAUUAAUUACGAGUUGGAAAUAUAUCUUUCUCAUAAUGGGCUUUAACUACUCUAAUGAUAAUAAUAACACAACUUUUCCAACAUUUUCUCUUCACUAGAUAAUUAAAAUUUAUGAAAAACUUACUAAUCCACAUCAUUAAUGUCAUGUAUAAAGUUUGAAUGGUGAUGAUGAUACCUCCAUCCUCGGGCAAAUCGGAGGUCCAGAGAGUGAGAUUGUCUCUCAAGAGCUGCAUGAUCAAGGUGCUGUCCUUGUAUGACUCUUCACUCAAGGUGUCUAACUCAGCAAUUGCUUCAUCAAAAGCUUGCUUAGCCAAAUGGCAGGCCCUGGAAGUUUUAUCAAUAACUAAGUAUAAAUCUCGUAGCAGUGUUGGGAAGCACAAGGAUGUGUAGAAAGUGACAACGUCCUAGGUUUCAGAAAAAGUGUGAUAAUUUAUGAACAUGUUACAUAAAUUCAAUGACAUGCAUGAACCAAUGGAACUAAAUAAUUUUGGAUUUUGUUUUCUGAUCCUUAGCAAGUAGCUGAAACAAAAGAGAAAGGAAGAAAAUUUUACCUUUCAGGAGAGUUCAUUAUCUCAUAAUAGAAGACUGAGAAGUUGAGUGCAAGUCCAAGACGAAUUGGAUGUGUUGAUGGAAGAUCUGUGUUUGCUGCAGCUAAAGCAGCCUAACAAUAAUAGUUUGAACAUCAUCAAACAAACAGCACCAGAUAUAGAUAAACAAAAUAAAGUAUAAGAAAGUAUAGAUGAAGGAGUUCAUUGCUGAAAUGAGAGACAAUAGAUACCAACCUCAUAUCCCUUCAGUGAUUGCUCAGCUGCCUCCUUUCUUUCUUGGUCGGUCUUGAACUCAGCUAGAUAUCGAUAAUAGUCACCCUUCCUGCAUCAAAAGGAAUUGAUCAACACAGAACCUAAGCAUGCUAAACCCAUGUAUGAAGAGCGAUACAUAAUGACACACAAUCUUCUUUCUUGUUUUACAAGGAAUAUGUUUGUCUGACUUAUGAAGUGAGAGAUUCAAUAAAAAAGAAAGAAUAUCACACUCAUUAGUUAAUGUUAUUCUCUAAUGAGAAUUUGAAGAAGGUAAAUAUUUGAUAAGAAAAACGGUAACAGAGAAGAUGACUGACAUCUUAUAGUAGAAAACGGUGGCUUCUCCUGAGGUGGAAGAAGGAACAAGAUGCUUGUCAAUAAUUGACAGAAUAUCGCUGCAAAUUUUGGAGAGUUCCUCUUCCACUUUCUGACGAUAAUUCUUUAUCAUUUUUGCAUUGUUCUCAUUUCCUUUAGACUCUUCCUUCUGUUCAAUCGAUGACAUAAUGCGCCAAGAAGCUCUUCGUGCACCAAUCACAUUUUUAUAUCCCACCGACAGCAGAUUCCUCUCUUCCACGGUCAAUUCUAGAUCAAGUUUUGCAAUCGCCUUCAUGCAUUCAACCAUUUCUGAUGAAUUUCGCAUGUUAAUAUAUAUAUAUACAAACCAUUUUCAACAAAUCAUUCAAAUCAUUAAUCAAACAAAAUGAAUCAAAUGUUGUGGAUCCUUUUAAUUUGAUUCGUGGAAAGAUAGAAAAAGAAAACCUAGAUUCACACGUAUAAUAAGGUGGCAUAAUAAAAUAGAAAAAGUGAUGAUGAUGAUGAUGAUGACCUUCAUAUCUCUCAGCUUGCUCAGAGAGCUUGGCGAUGUAAACUUGGGUCUCUCUCUCCUUCUCCGAGGACAUUGUUAUGUUGAAUGAGAGGAAGAAGGGUUUGAAAAUGGAAGUGGUUGUGGAGAAGAAGAAGAAGAAAAAGAUGAUGAAGAAGAAGAUGAAGAAUAAGAAGAAGAAGAAUGCGAGAAAGAAGCCUAAGGAAGCGUGGAGUGUAUAUAUAUAUAGAAGGAACUGUUGUAAUUCUAGUUUCAAUCUUCCUUUUUCUUAGAACAAAACUAAUCACAAACCCUAACUUCUAGGACUUGUUAUAACAAUCUUCUAUAUAUAUCAUUUUAAAUUUUAUAAUUAUUGCAUUUAAUUAAUAUAUUUCUUUCACAUUCUACUCAAAUUGCUAGAUCUGAUUAAAUACAAAAAAUUAUGCAUAGAUUAUGUAGAGAAGAAUAAAAUAUUAAUACACCUCCUCUUACAUUUUUCCAUACAUGAUAAAUCUAUGCAUAUAGGUUGUAAAGGAGUUUUUUUUUUUUAAAAAUGUUAAGGAAAACAAAAACUUGAAAAAAAAAUUAAAACUAAAACACUAUACUAUAGGACCAAAGAGUUAUUCAAUAAUCCCUUUUACUAAUUGAAUUUAAUUUUCAAUUAUCAUUAUUUGCACACAAUACAAAAUGAUAAUUUCCAUAUAAGAUUUUAUGGAGCAUUAACUAAAUUUAUUUACUUGAAAUACAAAAUAUGUACUAUUGUCUAUUUCUGGAAUACAAUUUUUUGAAGAAAUAUUAAACAGUUAAAGUUUGAAUUGCUAAAACUGUUUGUUUAACUAAGAAUAGGAUGACAUGAAUUAUUCAAAAAAAUGUUUAGUAAAAGAGUAUUUCAUAAAUAAUACUAAGUAAAAAUUUUAAUUUAAUAACUAGUAAGAUAAAAAAUGAUUUAUAAUUUUAGAAUUGCUUACUGAAAAUAUGACAGCAUAGCGGUUUAAGGAACAUAUAAAACUUUAUGAUCAAUGUGGGAGAAAAGGUUUCCACCCUAAUCUUAAAUGUAAGACACUCUUAUGUAUUGUAAUUGUUUUAAAAAGUUUUACCAAAUAAAAUUAUAAAUGGUAAAUAUUUUUAUUGUAAUUAAGCACUAAAAAAAAAAAAGCCAAUCAUCAAAAUUUAUCGAAAAUGUUAAAAAUAUAUCCAUAACAAUUUUUUAUGGUUUUUUAGGGAUCGAAAUUUGUCAAUAAAAAUGUGAUCGGGUAAUAUUAUUGACAAAAAGUUAUAUUUCUUGGUAAUUAUCGAAGGAAAAAUUUAUCAGUAAUUAUUAAAAGAAAACUUCAUCGAUAAAUAUUGCGAUCUGGUUCAUCUUUCUCUUUUCUCCUUUCUUCUUCUUCCUUCUUUUAAAUAUUUUUUUUUUUAAUUUGUGCAUGGUGAUCCUACUAUUAAACUAAGAUCAAUCCAUCUUUAACUUAAUCUAUUUUCCAUCAUCUACAUAUCCACUCUAAAUAUCUUUACUACAAAAGCCAAAUUCUAAUCACCUACACGUAACAUAUACAAUCUCACUUGAAAAAAAGAGAAAUAAGGAAAAAUCUGUCUUAUUCAUUUGAAUAAAAUAUGAGAGAUAUAUACAAGAGAGAAAAUCUAUAAUUAUACUAUUUUAUCCCUAUAAUUAUUCUAUAAUAAUCUAACAUUAUUACUGUAAUUAUUCUAUAAUAAUGUAACAUUAUUACUGUAAAUNAGCUAUAAUAAUAACAAUAUAUUCUCUCAAUAAUCUCGGGAUAUGAUUUAUUUUCUAACACUCCCCCUUAAGUUGGAGAGUGAAUAUCAAUAACUCCUAACUUGCGCUUCAUGAUAGAGAACACUUCUUUUCCCAGUGGUUUAGUGAACACAUCGACAAGUUGUUCAGCUGAAGGUACAUAUUUAGUUGUGACUGAGUCAUCUUGAAUUUUAUCACGAAUGAAGUGGCAAAUCAUCUCUAUAUGUCUAGUUCUUUCAUGGAAAACCGGGUUAGCUGCAAUGUGUAAGGGUGCUUUAUUGUCACAAUAUAACAAUGUCGGUUUAGGAUGCAAUAUUCGUAAAUCUUUCAACAAUGAUCGUAACUAAGUCAAGUCACAACAAGUACUAGUCAAUGCUCUAUAUUCAGCUUCUGCUGAGGAAAGAGAAACCAUCUUCUGCCUCUUUGUUCGCCAAUAGAUAAGGGAAGAUCCCAAAAAAACACAAUAACCUGUAGUUGAUUUUCAGGAUACUAGGCAACCUCCCUAAUCUGAAUCAAAGUAAGCACACAAAGAUAAAUCAUUUUGUGAAGGGAUAAAUAGACCUUGACCUGGGUUUUUUUUAAAUAUCGUAGCACACACGUUGCAGUGUUCAUAUGAGGCUUGCAUGGGGCGUGCAUGAAUAUGCUUAGUAUGUGUACCGCAUAGGUGAUAUCUAGACGGGUAAUUGUCAAAUAAAUUAAGCGACCAACAAAUCGCCUGUAUAUUGACGGGUCCUUUAAUAAUUCUUGUUCAUAAGAAAACUUUAUAUUUUGUUCCAUGGGAAAAUCCACGGGCUUAGCUCCAAGAUACCCACCAUCUUUAACAAUUUCCAAAGCGUAUUUCCUUUGUGAUAUGAAAAUACCUUUCUUAGAACGAGAGAACUCAAUACCCAAAAAAAUUUAAGAUCACCCAAAUCUUUUAUCCGAAAACGAUUGUGUAGAAAUUGUUUAAGAUUGGAUAUAUCAAUAGGGCCAUUACCAGUUAUGAGAAUAUCAUCAACAUAGAUCAACAAAGCUGUAAAAGACUUGCCUUUUGUACAUGCAAACAAUGAGUAAUCUGCUUUUGAUUGAAUAAAACCAACACUUUGAAUAGCUGUAGAGAAUUUGACAAACCAUUGACGAGAUGCUUGUUUUAAUCCAUAUAAACUUGUUGAGGCGACACACAAGAUUCUCCCCAUGUCGCUGAAAACCAGGAGGAAAGGACAUAUAGAUUUCUUAAGAAAGAUCACCAUGAAGAAAAGCAUUAUGGACAUCAAGCUAAUAAAGAGACCAAUGUUGAGCAGUAGCCAAAGCUAAUAAAGAGCGUACUAUAACCAUUUUUGCAGUAGGUGAAAAAGUGUCAUGAUAAUCGAUACCUUCUAGUUGGGUAUAUCCCUUUGCAACUAGACGCACCUUAUACCGUUCAAGAGAACCAUCAGAUUUGCGCUUGAUUUUGUACACCCAACGACAAUCAAUAGCCUGCUUUCCAGGAGGAAGAGUGGUGAUAAACCAAGUAUUAUUGGCCUCUAAAGCAGCCAACUCAUAUUUCAUUGCCUCUUGCCAAUGAGUGUGAGAAACAACUUGAUCAUAACAUGUAGGUUCAAUAUCAUUAGUAAUAACGGCAAGAAAAGAACGAUGUUGAGGUGUGUAACGGUCAUAAGAGAUAAAAUUGCAAAGAGGAUAUCGUGUACCUUUAUUUGGAAAAGAUGAUGAGGAUGACAAUGGACUGGGAGACACUACCUGAUUGCAAAUAUAAUCUCGCAAAGUUGUAAGAGGACCAUGAGAUCAUUGAGAACAACGCAAGGGAACCAUAUGUGGGGAAGUAAUGGGAGGCAUAAUUAUGUUUUUUGUAGGUGCUGACUGAGUGUAUGAAGGACUCUCAUAUGGAGGAUUAUCUGGGAUAACAUUAGGUAUGACAGGUUCUAGGGUGGUUGGAGGAGUGUCAAUGGAUUCAUACGGAAAAAUAGCCUCAUGGAAGACAACAUCACGACUAAUGAAGACUUGGUGAGCUUCAAGAUCAUAUAACUUGUAAGCUUUUUGGCCAAGAGGGUAACCAAGAAAAACANAUCUUUGGGCANGAGGAGNAAACUUAUGAGAAACAUGAACAUUAGUAGCAUAAGCAAGACAUCCAAAAACUCUAAUGUGUGAAUAAGAAGGGAUUUUACUAUAUAGGCGCUCAAAAGGUGUCUUGUGUGAAAGAAGAGGUGUGUGCAACCGGUUAAUUAUAUGGACAACAGUGGAAACACAUUCUGCCCAAAACUGUAAAGGAAGAUAAGCUUGAAAACGAAGAGCUCGUGUUGACUCAAGGAUAUGUCUAUGUUCGCGCUCGACAACCCCGUUUUGUUGUGAUGUGUAAGUGCAAGAAUGUUGGUAAGUGGUACCUUGUUGUGUAAAAAAAUCUCGUAGAGAAAAAAAUUCCUUUCCAUUGUCAACCCGAAUAUUGGCUAUAUUGGUAUUAAAUUGAGUUUUGACUAAAGAAAAAAAAAAUUAUAAGAAGAUGUUAGGUUUCACUUUUAUGGUGCAUGAAAAAAACCCAAGUAAAGCGAGAAAAAUCAUCAACAAUAGUUAAAAAAUACCUAGUACCAGAAAGAGAAGGAAUUUUAUAUGGUCCCCAAAUAUCACAAUGAAGUAAUUGAAAAGGUUUAAUUGAAGAAAUAGAACUAGUUGGAAAAGGAAGUCGUGUCUGUUUUGCAAGAGUACAAACAUCACAACUUUUAUUUGACUCUAAAGAGAGAUUUAACAAAGUUUUAGCCAAGAAGUCUAAUCUAGAUGGAGAUAGAUGUCCUAGUCGUCGAUGCUAUAAGUUAGUAGAAGUGUUUGAAGGAGGAGAUGAUUUGGUGACAUGGGCUGCUAUGGAUUGAAUGGGAGUUUGUGACUUGUUUGAUGUAAUUGCAACGAAGUAAUAGAGUCCUCCUCGUUGUUUACCCAAACUAAAUUCCAUCCUCGUCAUCAAAUCCUGCAAAAUAAACCCAGAAGGAAAACAAGUUACUAAACAAUUUAAAUCUCGUGUGACUCGACUUACCAACAUCAAAUCUACUUUGCACGAUGGCACCCCAAGCACAUUUUUUAAAUAAACAAUUGGGCUCAAAGGUAGAGUGCCAGUAGAGAUAAUUGGGGCCUGGUCACCAUUUGGCAUAACAAUUGGUGGUAAAGAAGUGUUUUCUUUACUGUUAACAAGCAAGGUUGGUGAAGAAAUAAUGUGAUCGGUAGCCCUACUAUCAAUUAUAAGUUUGGGUGGUGACAAACCUGAAGAAACAUUGGCGUUGUUGGCCUGAUUGAGAUGAUUCAUUACCCUGUAUAUAGACAACAUUUGUUGGAGUUGUAAUUCAGUUAAUCCAUUCAUUGAAGACUGCAUCUGUUGCAUCAUUGGAGUCGCUGUAACAAUAUUAGCUAAAGACUGACUACUCCCAUUGUGCUUAGAGUAAGCAUUCUUGGUUGCUCCAUGCUUUGGGUGUUCAGGAGGGUAACCAUGUAACUUCCAACAUGUGUCUUUUGUAUGAUGAUCUCUAUCACAGUGAAAAUAAUGUAGCGGCUUUCGAUUAGAUGAAUUAAGACAAGAAGAAGAGCCUUGUUUGCGUCGAACAGCAAGGGCUACUGGUUCAUUUUUUUGAACAGCCAUGGCUGAAGCUUCUAUUGUGUCACAUGCGGUGCUCAAAUGUCACUGUUUUUCUUCUUAAAUGAUGGAAGAAUAAGCUUGUGUAACAUCAGGCAAUGGAUUCAUUAAAAGGAGUUGGCCACGAAUAGCACUAUAAGAGUCAUUUAACCCCAUGAGAAACUGCAUCAAUUUGCGCCUUUUACUGUCAGUUCCACAAGUGCAGGUUGCAUUGCUAUAGGAGCCUAACUCACCUCAUAAUUUUUUUAACUUUGUCUAAUAGGAUGCAACUGUCAUUUGAUCUUGAGCCAAGCAAGCAAUGUCUCUCUCAAUCUGAAAAAUUUGUGGUGCGUGGCUUUGAGAGAAACAAUUUUGAAGAUCUGUCCAAACUUCAUGAGUAGUGUCAUAGAAAAUAACACUAUCUACAAUAUCAUGUGCCAAAGAAUUAAGGAUCCAAGAUAACACCAUGUCAUUGCCUUUUUCCCAUGUUGUAUAUUCUUCUGGUUUGGCCUCAACAGAAGGUGCCGUGAGAGUUCCAUCAACAAAACCCAAUUUGGAUUUUGCAUUCAAAGAGAUGACCAUGGCUCUACGCCAAGUCGAAUAGUUGUAUCCAUCUAGAGAUUUGGAAACAAGAACCAUUCCAUGAUGGUAAAAAAGAUGGAGAGAAUAAGAACUAUUCAAAUUUUAUUCAUUUCCAUAGUUAGCCAUGGGAAUAAGGAUAGAAAAAAUUGAGUAGAGGAUCGUUCGUGCUUUGAUACCAUGUAAAAAAAGAAAUAAGGGAAAAAUCUAUCUUAUUCAUUUUGAAUAAAAUAUGAGAGAUAUAUAUAAGAGAGAAUCUAUAAUUAUGCUAUUUUAUCCCUAUAAUUAUUCUAUAAUAAUGUAACAUUAUUACUGUAAUUAUUCUAUAAUAAUGUAACAUUAUUACUGUAAAUCGGCUAUAAUAAUAACAAUAUAUUCUCUAAAUAAUCUUGGGAUAUGAUUUAUUUUCUAACAUCACUUAUUCAACCUAAGAAAAACAAAGACGGUGAGGAGUGGUGGUGACUCAUUGGAGUGGAGGUGACUCGCUGGCAGAGGGAAAACAUUUGUCAUUGAUGAUGUUUAAAGAUGCAAUGAUGAGCGGCGACAAUGAGGGUGAGACUGGUGACGACACUCUGACGAUACCUUAUAGGGUUUAUAGGUUUGAAGAAUUAGGGAUUUGGGUUUAUAGAGGAAAUGAAGAUGAAGAAGCUUGAAUGUAUUUUUACACCUCGAUUUCUACCACUUAUGUACCUACUAGGCUUUUUUUGGUAUAAAUUUGUCAUUUUUUUUUAUCGAUGAAUUUAGUGACAGAAAAACCCAUUUAUAAUAAUCAUAUUAAAUUAUUGACGAAUUUUAUUGAUGGAUUUUAAGAUUUGUAAGUAUUGAUGGAUUUUAUCGAUGAAAAAUAUCUAUUGUAAAUUAAAUAUGGAUUAUCGAUAAAUUUUUUUAUUAGUAAAAUUUUAUUACUAAAAUUUAUCGAUAAUUAAAAUUUCAGAAUUCCUCGAUAAAAUUUGUAAAUGAUUCCAAGAAUUUUUGUUGUGAUAAAAUGAUAUAUAUUUUGUUAAAACAAGAAAUAAUAUAUUUUGUUGUAAUUACUGAAUAUAUUAGUUGUGAAUUCAAUUUUCUUAAAUUACAAGUAAAAUGUUAGAAGUGAGUUUUAGGCAUGUUAGAAUGUGAGUUUAAGCCUAACUCACCCCACAAAAUCAACUUGUAAGGUGAGGAUUACACCUCACUUAUAUAUUAUAAAUUAGCCUUAUCUCUAGUCGAGGUGGGACUUCCAACACACCCCCUUCACGCCGAGGUAUAGACAUCUCGUGCGUGAUAGUAGAAAUUAGGUUGUCCAAUAUUGGCCCAACAACGGGUGGAAUAGAAACAGAAAUGCCCACUUAGAACUCGCUAGGAUAGGCUUUAAUCAUGACUCUGAUACCAUAUUAAGAAAGUGGGUUUUUAAGCCUAACUCAACCCUACAAAAUCGGCUUGUAAGAUUUACACUCACUUAUAUAUUGUAAAUGACAUUAUUUCUAAUCAACGUCAAACUUAAUACAUUUAGAUAAAAGAAUAAUAUCGAUUAAGUACUCCAUAGACAUAUAGAAAAUAGACUUCUUUAUGGUUUUCAUUUUAUUUUUACAUAAUCCUAAAUGUUAAAAUAGAGAGGUUACGAUAAUUAUAAUUUUUUUUAUUCUCUUCUUUAUGAGUUUAGAAAACCAAAUUAUUUCUGUUAAUUAUAUUUGUUAUUAUUGAUAAAAAAAAUAUAAAAUAUAAUAAGAAUACUCAUUGAUACUUUUAUUAGUAAACUUAAUUAUUUAGCAUAUCUAAAAGAAAUGUAUUCAAACAUUACAUAUACAUACAUGUAUUUUGUGAAUCAUGACGUGGUCUUUUAUAUUUUUUACGUUUUAUGUUAGAAGUGGGUUUUAGGCCUAACUUAACCCCACAAAACCGGCUUGUAAGGUGAGGUUUGCACCUCACUUAUAUAUUAUAAUUUGGCCUUAUCACUAGUCGAUGUGGGACUUCCAACACACCCCCUUCACGCCGAGGUAUAGACAUCUCGUGCGUGAUAGUAGAAAUUGGGUGGUCCAAUAGCAGCCCGACAACGGGUGGAAUAGAAACAGAAAUGCCCACUUAGAACUCGCUAGCAUAGGCUUUAACCAUGACUCUGAUACCAUGUUAGAAAAUGGGUUUUAAGCCUAACUCAACCUCACAAAACCGGGUUUUGCAAAUUAAAUAUAUACCUCGGCGUGAAGGGGGUGUGUUGGAAGUCUCAUAUCGACUAGAGAUAAGGCCAAAUUAUAAUAUAUAAGUGAGGUGCAAACUUCACCUUACAAGGCGGUUUUGUGGGGUUGAGUUAGGUCUAAAACUCACUUCUAACAUAAAACGUAAAAAAUAUAAAAGACCACAUCAUGAUUCACGAAAUACAUGUAUGUAUGUAAUGUGUGAAUACAUUUCUUCUUAGAUAUGCUAAAUAAUUAAGUUUACUAAUAAAAGUAUCAAUGAGUAUUCUUAUUAUAUUUUAUAUUUUUUUAUCAAUAAUAACAAAUAUAAUUAAUAGAAAUAAUUUGGUUUUCUAAACUCAUAAAGAAGAGAAUAAAAAAAAAUUAUAAUUAUCGUAACCUCUCUAUUUUAACAUUUAGGAUUAUGUAAAAAUAAAAUACAAACCAUAAAGAAGUCUAUUUUCUAUAUGUCUAUGGAGUACUUAAUUGAUAUUAUUCUUUUAUCUAAAUGUAUUAAGUUUGACGUUGAUUAGAAAUAAUGUCAUUUACAAUAUAUAAGUGAGUGUAAAUCUUAUUUUACAAGUCGAUUGUAUGAAAUUGAGUUUUGUUUAAAGUUCACUUCUUAACUAUCACGGGUAUUAGAGCUUAUUUUAGCAGAUUUUGUUAUUUGUUGAGUCUCUUAUUCCACUUCUUAACUAUCACAAGUAUUAAAGCUUAGUUUAGCAAAUUUUAUUAUUUGUUGAGUCUCUUAUUCCACUUGUUAUCGGAUAGCUAUUGGACCAUUCAUUAAUGUUUAGUGUCAUUCGCAAGAUAAAUAUAUACUUCAACCUGAGGAGAAUGUUUUAGAAGUUUCACAUAAACUAAAAAUAAGAUUAAUUCACAGUAUAUAAAUGAAUGUAAAUCUCAUCUUAAAAACCAAUUUUAUUAUGUUAAAUUAGCCUUAAAGUUUUCUUCUUAACAAUGAAUGCAUUGUUUAAACUUUUAUGUUCAUUUACAAAUCCACAUAUCCUAACACAUAUGAGAUUAUAUUGUUUUAUAUAUAUAUAUAUAUAUAUAUAUAUAUAUAUAUAUAUAUUAUUAAUUUUUUUAUGUAGUUUUAUUUAUUAUGUACAAUAAGAUAAUUAAAUAUAUUAUUUAUUAUAGAUUAUAUUGAAAUUAAGUGCAAUAAAAUAGUUUAACUAUGAUUGUAUAUUGUAGGAAUACUAAAUAAACUCACCUGUAUUAUUUUAACUCUUUUUAAUUUUGAAAACAAAUAAACAUUCUCAUUAACAUAUUAGUGUAUAUUUUAUUUUUAAAAUUGAAUAUAGAUAAAUAAAUGAAUAAAUGAGUAUGUACAAAUCUAAUUCCAUUUCUAUGUUAAUUUGAUUAAACAUCUAUAAUUCAUUAGAUAAUUUAAACAAAAUUAUUUUCAGUAUUUUAAGAUUUUAUAAUUUUUUUUCUUGAUAUUUCACAUUGAAGAAAAUAAUUUGUAUUCUUUAAUCCGUGAUAAUAUUAUUAUGUUUUGUUUGCUAUUAUAUUUAAUUUAUAAUUGGGGUAGUAAGAAAAAGGGUACAAAUGUAAAAUACAAGUAUACACAUAUUCUUUACUUUUAAUUAAAUAUUUGUUUCAUUCUCAAACUAUUUAUUAAGAUUGUAUUUCUUCAAAUUUUGUACCAAUCUUAUUCCUACAAUUUAUAAAAGAAUGUAAAAUGUUUUUAAGAAGAAAACAAUAACUAAGAAAGUUGAAGUUUAUCUCUUCUUUCUAGCUAUCACCAUUCGACUGGAUAAUACAAUUUCAGUGGAUAAUACAAAUAUUUAAUCCUACUUUUUUGUCUUUAAGAUUUAGGGUUUAAGCACUUAUUUUUCUAUUAUCUGUCACUAUCUUGUUAACUUAUUUUGUUUUCCAUAUUAAAAGUAAAAUAAGAAAGCAAUAUGUGUAAAACUUAUAUCAAAAUUAGAAACAAAUCCAAAGACAUAAUUUAUUUAAUUAAUAUUUUUAAAAGUUUCCUAUAUUUUCCUAUUUAUGUAAAAAAAAGUGUUAAGAUGAAGUUUAUUAUCGCAACUUUUUUUGCAAUUGUUUACACAAAAUCAUUUGGAAAUAAACUAAUUAAUAAUAGAAACUGUAUAAUUUUUACAAGGAAAAUUUAAUUAAUUUGCAUAACAAUGAAAAUAAAAUUUACAAAGUUUUAAUUCUCAAAUAAUUGAAUAUAUGUUCUAUUAGAAAUAAAUAUUUAAAAAAAAAAUAAGCUAUUAGUGAUGAUUUUAGAUCUAUUAUUUGCUUGGCUAUUAAAAAAGUGUUUUGGUUUUAAAGAACGUUUAUAUGAGAAUAAUGGCCUUUGAAAUGCUUUUCCUUCGAAAUAUUAAAUUUGAAAAUUAGAAGUAAGAGAAACCACUUGCAGCAGCAGAUAAAUCAAACUAAAUUGUAAUGUCAAUUCCACAUGCGAGUGAUUCCACAUAAUUCAAUUUCAUGGCCAUUCACAUUCUUUCUCAAAAAAUUAGAUAUUGUUCAACACAAGUAAUAGAAGUCCAAUGAUUGAUAAAGAAAUAUUAAAGUAAAAAAAAAAUAAAGAAUGCUAAUAAGAUAUUGGAAAAAUGAAUUACUACAAACUUCGACAAAAAAUAAAGUGUAACUAAAUUCAACAAGAACCUUCACAAUCUACAGCUUCCUCAAUCCUCUGACCAGGAUGUGGACACGAUUGAAAACGUCAAGGCUCUGAGCUUUGUAUAUACAAACAUGUGCCAACUAAACAAUCCAUUCUCUGAAAUUGCACAACACAGAUUAUAUCAGUUGUCAAUGCUCAUCAAACUGGAAUGACCGACACAAGUUUUGUCAAUGUAUCUAAAAUGUUGUAUUUUUAUACUACCCACUUUUCCCACUGCUUAGAAAGAAGGUUUAGAGGAAUUACCGAGCAAAAAAAUUGUAUUCAUUUAUCAUGGUGAGAUAUACUAGUUCUCCAUAAGCAAUUAUUUUUUCAAAAAAGGUUUCUGGCAAACAAGUAGCCGCUGGUCACUUCCAUUCUGAAGAUCAAUUACCCUUGCUUCCCAACGUACUUGUGUCGCAACCAUGCGAGCCAUCUCAAUAGCUUUCAUAGUAUCAGAAAUAAUGACCCAACCCUACAAAAACAAUGAAACGUAAAAAAAAAAAAAAAAAAAAGUAAGGCUUCAUUGACCAUUCCAAUAUACUGGGACUAAAGUACUUUGUCUUCAGAAUUAAAAAAUUUAGUAGAUUUAAUUAGUUGUAUAAAAUUAAUCAACAAUUUCUAUAAUUAGUUUUUUCAGAAUUAUCCUUAAAAUUAUUGGGAUACCGUUUUUAAAUCUCUUUCCACCCAAUUAAUUAAGGUAUCUCCACUAAGUACUGACAUUUUGCUUUCUACAGGAAAAGAUAAAGUGAAUGAAACGGAUACUUCUGAAUAGUGAAUAAUCUUUGUCUAUCCUCAAGAGAGAGGAUCUGGGUUCCAUAAAAAAAUUAGACAUUUGAAAGGGGUCUUAUGAUAAGAACUAUGGAGAACUUUCGAAGAGAUUACUAUAAAAAUCAUUAGAGGGAAUAUUUCAUAUUACCACCAUCACAACAUACCUCUGGACGCAAUAUUCUAUCCAUCUCCAGGAACAAGUCUAUCGUGCUGCACCUCUCUGAGGAGAGAUGUGAAAGAAGUCCAUCUGCAUGAAGCAAAUCAUAUGUCCGGGGAUAGGUGGGGAAGGGUUCACACCUGAAGAUCAAUGUAUUAGCAGUCAUAUACAAAAAUGAAUUACUCGGAAGUUCAUAAGCGAUAACACUCUUUUACGAAGAGGUUGUCAAUCAAUUCCAAACAGGCGCGUGAUGUUCUUUAAAAUUGGGUUUCAAAAUAGAACUACGUCUACUUCCAAUCCAAUAGAUCAAGUGAAUGUAUGCACCUUACGUUCAUCUUCAAAUUCAAUCUCAAAAAUAAAAGCAAAAUAAAGAACAUUGAACAUUAGGUAUUGAAAUCUCAACAUUGAAUGUUAGAUAUAAAAUUAUUGGUAUAUUAUGCAUGUUUGUCUACGCUUUUUAAAAAUGUAUAUAUAAUUAUUUACUUUCUAAAGAUUUUAUGAAACGUAGAGAGUAUAAUUUGUUUGGUGACAAUUAUAAAAAACUGCUCUUCAUUUCAAAAGAGUGUUAUAGUUACAUGCUUAUUCCCCCAAAAGCAACUCAACUAAGAAAUCUGUUAUUUUUCAGAAAUCUGAUUUUAAAUAAACAAUUUUUUUUUAAAAAGGCUAAUACUAUCUUCAAAAUAAAAGAGAUCUUUCAUGGAAAAAAUAACUGAAAUAAAUGGACUCUAAAUUAAAAGUCUACGUUAGCUGAUCUAAUGGCAUUCAAUAAUUUACAACAUAAGAAGUUGCUAAAGAACUAUUUUUGUACAUACAUCACUAAAUCAUUUUCAAUAAUAAUAUUUUCACAUUAAGCAGUAAAAACACCAUGGUUCAUGAAGUAAAGUAUCUAAAAUUGCUGUUACUUUCUCAACUAGCAUACACCAUUCUUAUGUCAUUUAUUAUAAGAAUGAGCCAAUAAUAAAUAAUAAGGCCAGUGAAAUAGCUUUAUCAGGCUUAGUGAAAUUAUCAGUUUAUAACCCUCAGUCAUUACCUUCACACCUGAAACAAUUUUUCAUGUGUAUGGAAACCUUGUUUAGAUUAUGGUUUCACAAACAACAACUUUUCUAGAUCAUGAACAGUAAAACAAGCAACUCACCAGUCAUGUAUGACACCGGAAAAACCUCUAUCUAGUAUAAGAGGAAGAAGUGCAUUAGAAGCUGUGGAAGAAACCACGUUCAUAACCCACACUGACUUUUUCUCCUCGAGCAGGGCAGCAUUCAACCCUCCAAAAUUAGCAUUCAUGUCCAUAACAUUCCGGACCAUAUUAUAUGGAGGGAAUGGAUCUUCAUCUCCAAGUCUCUUUGGAUGGUCAGAGAAAAUUAGUGGGGUAAGUAACGACCAAUAAUUGUUAACAGCUGAUCUCCAAUGUUGCAAAUCUUCAUAAAAUUCUUCAGGUUGAACUCCUGCAAUAAUAAAGAAAAAUCAUGAAAAGGAAAAGCAUUACAGAAAGGAAACAAAAUUUGGAGGGGAAGAAACAAGGAGAAAGACAUGCAGAAGAAAUCUGUUAAUACUUUCCAUGAAUUUUAAGUUCAGCCGAGCUCAAUCCAGAUUCAGAAGAUCUGUUCUGUAUUGCAAUCCAGCGCUUGCUAGACGUCCCACUUAUACAUGGCACAAGAGGCCUAUAAUAUGACUGAGUAUCCUCUCCUUCACAUAGCUGUAUAGUACUCUGCUUACUACAAUUAAGAAACAAAUGUUGCUGAAAACCUAUAGUUAUAAGUGAAAGUGUUCAAUGAAGAACCAGCAGCCCAACUAGUGAUAGUUGAUGGUAGCCAUCUCAGAUAGAGAAACAAUUUAGCUGCUCAAAUAAUUAUUUAUCAUUUACAUCACCCAUGUUACUACAGUUAUCCUUACCGAGAUGCAUAACAUCCAACAUCAGUAGUCUUCUGCCAAACAAAAGUUUCAUCUUGCUGAGCUACAAGAGUCCAGCAGAGUUGUUGGGUGAACCCUUCUAUUGUGUUUGACAUUAUUCUCUUUUUCUCCUUUGAUGAACCCUGUGGUCUCCUUGUAGGUGAGGUUAAAACAAAAUAUCCUCCGGGAUUAAGAACACGAUCAACUUCUAUAAGGAACAAUCCAUCUGAGGGAUGAAGUCAAUGUUAGAAAGCAAGGGACAGCAGUUCAUACAGAAGCUAAUGAUAUUCAACAAUAGGAUGGUCAAUGGAAUAAUGGAAAGAGAAUAAGGAAAUGGUAAUUAUAUGGAGAGAGAGAGAGAGAGAGAGAGAGAGAGAGAGAGAGAGAGAGAAUGAUAAAAACUGGUCACAUUCUCAUAUAAACAUUUCAGACACCUAUUUCAGCCAUCAAUUUCAUUCGUGAAAAACAAAUUACUCAAUAUUAGUUAGGCUUAAAACCCAUUUCUAACAUGGUAUCAGAGCCAUGGUUAGAGCCUAUCCUAGCGAGUUCUAAGUGGAUAGUUCUGUUUCCACCCGUUGUCGGGUCGCUAUUGGACCACCCAAUUUCUACUAUCACGCACGAAAUGUCUAUACCUCGGCGUGAAGGGGAUGUGUUGGAAGUCUCACAUCGACUAGAGAUAAGGCCAAUUUAUAAUAUNUAAGUGAGGUGCAAACCUCACCUUACAAGCCGGUUUUGUGGGGUUGAGUUAGGCCUAGAACCCACUUCUAACAAUAUUGAAAUAGUAAGCAACUUUUAUGACUGAAUGAAGGCCCACCUUUUUCCAACGAUGAAAUUCAAUUAAAUCAUAAAGAAUGGAUGUAACAAGGAUCUGGCUUCUAAACAUUUGAUAUAAAGAUAUAUCAAGAAUCAAUUGCCAAAUACCCUUAAGAUGUUAGGUGAAGACCAAGAAUGCUUUUUAUAUCUCCAACACAAGGUUACUGCAUUGUGGCAUUUCAAGAGUUGAUGAUAAUUAGUCACUAAUUUGACAUUUGACAGACAGCCUAAUCAUACCUAUUUGGCCUAAAAAUCUACAGCACCAAAUAUUGCGCACAAUACUGAGUCUUCUUUUUCUCUCAUUUGUCAUCAAAUACAACUUUUUGAACAAAUACGUGGAAUUCAAACUCAGAUUCACAAAAAUAUUAAUCUGUUAAUCAACAUUUCAGUUAACAAUACGGCAAAACACAAAUAGAAUUUGUAAGUAUAAUGUUAACAAGGAAUUCACUCUGCUAAGAAUGAAAUUGUGAUGAAUGCCCAUAAACUGUAUAAUUACCGUUUUCAUCCCACACAAUGCCGCACUGAGCACAGUGAAUCAUGUCAUAUGAUAAUGACGGAUAUGGAAGCUGUCUGGAGAUAAAGUUGCCAAUCAUAGCUGGAAGACCUCUCUCAAGAGACAAUUGAACUUGGCUGCCAGUAGCUUCAUACGCCGCAAUACAAACCACCAUUAUUUUCAGUGACAAUAAAUGAGCUCCAAAGCUACCAAAUCCACAAUUAAUAUCUAGUAUAUUUCGAAUCUGUUAUAAAGUAAUUAAUGAAGAUCAGUCAUAUACAUAUUAUGGAACAAAAACAACAUGGUCCUUAAUGAGAAUCAUAAAGAGGACAUAAUCACUUAAAUAACAUAAUCUUUCGUAACUGUUACUACAUGGAACUAUUUUGCACAAACCCUGUCCGUGUAAAGCAUACUAGUUCCCAAAAGAAUAAAAGUUAGUGGACAACGGUGGACCGAAAACUUACCCCGGCUUGAGGAAGCUCAAUGUCACUUCCUAAGCCUAUCAUCUCUGCAAGUUGGCGAGCAUAAUCUUUCACACUGUUGAAUAUGAACCCAUCCUGCGAGUGAAAGGCGAUUUGAUUCUCUUCUAAUAGCAUCAACCUAGUGAAAUCACCACAAUAUUUAAGAAAACGAAAACAAGAAAGAUUAAAACGCAAUCAAUCAUAAUGAAUCAGAACAGACAAAAGGCAUUCAAGCAGUCUUUUCGUCUUACCACCCCCUCCCCCGAAAAAGAUCACGCAGUUAUAAGGUUCUUAAAUUUCUAAGAGGCUUCUGCUAUCACAUUUCGACCGCAUUUACUCAUAAUUUUCAGCUAUUUUAAAAAUUGCAAUGCAACUACAACCCCAAUUUUAAACCAUGGCUAUAUUUUUAUCCAAAGGGAAUCAACUUCACACCGUAUUAAUUAAUUACAGUAAGCACCUUUUGGUCAUACUUCCAGAGGAAAGAAACUGGUCUUUGGUGAUCUUCACAUUUGCGCUCCAUAUGACAUCCCUCCCACUCGGCCACCGCAACGGAGUCUUGUAUUCCUUGGGAGGCCGAACCAAACACCUCUCGGACACCUUAUACACCUCGCAAUGCCGAUCAAACUCCUCUCCAUCUUUAAACCCAGAAAUCAAAUUCGCAGACACAUUGUGACACGGCACGAAAUUCUCCCUUUCCUUGCCGCAAAGCCCCACCUCCUUCUGCCUCGCGCCACCACUCGACACACUCCUUAAUUCCAAGUAAUCCGCCGCGGCCUGCUCCUUUAUCCUUCUGUAGUUCGUGUAAAUUAGCGAUUCCGCAGUGCGAGACACUGAAUCAUCGGUGUUCGAAGAAGAAGAUGAACUCAACACUGCAAUCAGUGCAAGGAUACUUAUCAGACACAGGAUUAACCAGCUCAGUGGCGGCUUAUGGCCAAUUACGAAGGAUUGUUUCUUUAACCAAGAGCUUCUCAUGUCCAAAGUCGUGAGUCACACGCAGAUUCAAAAACGACACUAAAUUGUAAACUCCUUUAACCCUAGUCCUUCAACCAUGACACCGCAAAUCCUCACUUCGCUGCGACCACUGAAACGAAAACUCACGCAAUUGAACCACAAAUGCAGAUUAGAACCCGAAAUGGCGAAAGUUUUGGGAGACGGUCGUGCAAUGCCAAUCGGAGGAUAUAGCAAGCGUGCGAAAGAUCAACCAGAUCGCCGGUAAAUUGGAAUUUGAAAACGCAACGCGGAUCCGAUUGCGCCUGGCUUGGAACAGAGGAAUUAGGGUUUGGGCGGAGAUAAUGACGAUGAAGAAGAAGAAGAAGAAGAAGAAGAGCUUGAGAUUGAUUUAGAGAUGGAUUGAUUCUAAAAUGGUGAGAAAAAGAGAUUAUUUUAGAUUGCUAACUUUGCUUGCUUUCAAAACUAACAUUAUCUCUUUCUUACUUUAUAUGCCUCCCAAGCUUCCAUUAUUAAUCAGAUUCAAAACAACAACAUGAUUAUUGAUCUUAAUUAAUGACCUUUUAUACAUUUAACUACUUUUGGAAUUAAAUUAAAUUACUACCCUAUAAAAUUAGUAUGCAUUCAUUAAAGAAACAAAACAAUAUAUAUACAAAUUUUGUUCAACAAUUUUCAUUGUGUGCUUGUCUCCACCUUUUUGUUAUAAUUAUAAUUAUCAAAAUACACACCAGUUUCAUUAAUUGUUAUCAAUUUUUUGCUUUUCUUUUUCAAUCAAUUAAUAUUUCUUUAAUUAAUUUCUUAACUAAGAUACUUAUUAGGAUCAUCAUAUACUAAAUUUCUAGAAUAGAACCACCAAAGCAAUGACGACAACUUGUUAAGGAAUAAUCUUACAGCUACCAAAUGGAGGCAGAUCUGGUAGUUGCCAACCAUGUUCCAGUUUUUUUUUUUUUUUUUCUUUAGAAAAAUCAUGAACGAGGGGGAAGAGAAUAAAAUGAAUCAAGUUUUUAUUUUAAAUCAAUUAAAUAUAUGAUCUUAAUUUCUGGAAAAAACAAUAUUUUGAUUGAAGCUUUAAUAUAUUUUAUUUUUAAAUUUUAAAAAUAAAUAAAUAUAAUUUGUUAACAAAAAUUUAUUAAAUUUUAUUGAUUUAAUUAUCAUUAAAAUAUAAAUAAAGAAAUCAAAAUUUUAAUAUAAAACAUAUUUGGUUCAUAUAAAAAGUAUAAUCAUGUAUUUUUAAAUUUUGAUAAAUAAAAUAUAUUAAAAUUUUAAAUAUAAAUUAAUUUUAAUUGUAUAUCAAAAUUUAAUAACUAAAAGUUUAUUUAACCUAGUUAAAUUUAAAUUUAAUUUUUAUUUAACGACCAAACACUCUCAGUUGGUACAUAAUUUUUUUUUACCUAGUUCUAUUUAAAAAAUUACACGUGUUUAGUAUCUUACCGAUUUUAUGUAUUAACUUAAAUUAUUAAUGUGUCCAUGAUUAUUAUUUUUUAGAUUUUUAGGAAUUAAAGUAUUUUUAAUUAUUUUUUUUGGACCAAUUUUAAUAUUUUGAUUAUGGAUUAUGAAAUCUAGAAUUGAAUGCAUUUCCAUUUAGGAGUAGAUGAUAUGUUCCAGGUAUUUCAUAUUUAUAGUAUACUUGUACUUUCCUACAGGACAAAAUCGUAAUUAGGUGGUACGCUUACAGCUAUUACUGCAGCGUGCAUGUGUAGGCAAUUUCUAUCUAUAUAAAAUAAUUAUAUAAAAUUAUUUGCACUUUUUUAAAUUAUAAAUUUAAAUAAAAAUAAAAACAUAAAGACAAUUUUAAUUUCAUCAAUUUAAAUAAAAAAUAUAAAUCAAUGUUUAGAAAUGUUAAUAACAAAGAAUAAAUUCCUCUUGGUGUAUGUGUUUUAGACAGUUUUGUCCUUUAAGUAGAUAUGAAAAUCAUUCUUCAGUUACAAGUUAUUAUUAGGAAUAGCUUCCAUGAUAGUUAAUUAAAAGCUUUCAAAAUUUCCACCCUCCAUGCACGUGUGACAUGACAUAAAUAUAAUCUCUUUUAUUCAUAGUAAUUUUCAAUAGAAUCUAAAAUAUCUCUGAUGUUAACUUAAUUUCUUAUUUUACUUAAAUUAAGUCUUAUUAUUAUGUUUUAUUAAUUUUAGAUAUCUUCUCAUUUGCUCUAAUAUAAGAGUUUUACGAAAUGUACAUCUUUCAUCCCUUUUUAUUUAUAUUUAUAACUUUAAAAUUAAUUAUUAUAUUAUCUUAAAAUUAAAAAAUAUUAUUUUAGUAUUAAGAUCUGGGUUUUAUUUUAGAUUAGAGUUCUCAAAAUUUAGCACACUCUUUUUAUGUAAACUAAAAACAAAUUAAUUAAAUAAAUUUGAUUUAUGUAUUAUAAAAUCAUAAAAACUAAUUGUUAAAUUUUCUUUAACAAAAUAUAUUAAUCUCAAAAAUACAUUUUACACAAAUUUGAAAAUCAAACUCAUAAUAAUUAUAAUAUGUUUAAAUAAUAGGAAUACUAAUAAAACAAAUGACAUUACUGUAUUUCUCAACUCAUUGUAAAUACUAAAAAUGAUUGGGAAAGAAUACCAAUUAGUUGUGUAUAUAAUGCAUAUGAGACACUCGAUUUAUUAAUUUAUAAACUUUCUUAUAAUUGGUUAUUAUUUUAUAUAUUUAAAUACCCAGUUAUUUUAUUAUAAAAAAAGAAAACUUAAUUUCAUGGUUGUUAUUUUAAAUGUAUAUUUAUCGAUCACAUUCGUCAUUAAAAAGAUAGAGUUUAGCAUUUUUACUUUUAUCUCUAAUAUAUUAUUGAAUUUUAAGAAUUUGAUAUGAUAACUAACUAAACAAGAUAAGACUAUAUUAGUAACCAUACCUAUAAUAUGGAGUUUCGAACUUUAACUAAUAUAUACUUUCGAUUUAUAAUUAUUCUUAUUCUUUAUUAAGUUUAACAUAUGAAUGCCAUAUUUGAUAUUAGACAUUCAAUUAUCAAUGAUCUCACAGUUAGGUAUCGAUACAACUAUUUUAAUCAAUAAUCCUGGUUAUGGAUUAGAUUUUUUAAAAUUUAGUGUACGAUUAAAUCUAGAUAUAUUUUUAAUAUAUCAAUUAAAUUUAGAUUUUUAAAUUUAAUUUAAAUUAACUAAAUUAAAAUUAAAAUUAAAUUUAUUUUAUUUAAUUAGAUUAAAUUAAUAUAGCAAUAUCAACAUAAUAUAACUCAUUAUUAACUUUAUUAAAUAAAAAUCGAGUCAAUUUAAUUCAAUCUGAAUUAAACAUUAUUUAUAUCGAUUUAUAUUUAGUUCACUUUACUUGAUUUGUAUAUGGGUUAUUUCAUCUUAACAUCGUCCCAAAAUCGACUUGAGUCAACUUAAACUUGGGUUGACUUUCCAAGAUUUGAAAAAAUUUAAAAUAUUUAUAAAUAAUAUUUGUGUGAAUUAUUAUAGUUUAAAUGUGUUAGGUGAAUGCAUGUAAUAUUAUAUAAGUGAUUGUUAAAUUUUAUGAUGUUGGAGAGUUACCAAAGAAGUUAAAAGGAGUGUGAAUAUUAGUUUGUGCACCAUUUAUUAGUUUGGGCGUGCUGGCAAGCUCUUGGGUCGGGUUGUAAGGUAGUACUCGGCCCAUUUGUCCAGGAGGCCAGAUUAGUGUUUUGUUUUUUUUAAAAAAAGGUCCAAAACGAUGAGUUGGGUAAUAUUUUUGCUUAAUUCUGAUCAUGGGCUAGAGGAGUGGCCAUUUAGGCCUAGUUUAUGAGUUAUAAAUACUAGUUUAAUGAGAGUUAACCUCAAAAUUAAAAACCUAGUUGCCAUAAGGGAACUUUUAGAGAGAGAAAAGGUUUUUCGGGUUUGUCAGUCAAGGUCUAAAAGUUGGAAGUGUUGGAAGUUGAUUAGGAGAAAGGUGUUGCUUAUAUUAGAGGUAGUGUUUAUGAUUUAAUUGUGUGUUUAUGUAUUCGUAUGUCCAUGUGGUCUUAUGUGUGUUGUGAGGUUGUGUGAUACUAUUCAUAAUUGUCGAGUUUUGUUUUAUCCAAAAGUCAUUGUGUUGCAUAUGUUUUGUUAAGUUAUGUUCAUUCAUAUAUUCAUAACUUAUUAUGAAUAGUUUUAGGGUUUUAAUGUGUUGUAUGAACAUGAGACAUGAUUUUAUAUUUUAUAUGGUUUUAUUGCAUUAUUGUUUUCCAAGACUGAGUUGAGUAAGGGUGGUAUUGGGUUAUGCCAGGUUGUUAUAGGAUUAGUAUAACUUGUGCUUUGGGGUUGUCGGGUUAUGUAUGGGUAAUGCCAUGUUGAUAUAGGUCUAAAUCGUGUUGCUUUGUAUAAUUAUUAUGUGAUUGAAAAUAAUGUUGAGCUAUUCAGUUUGAAUCGGUGAUGUGUAUGAGUUUCCAUAGUUGAUUUCCAUGGUUCCUACCUUGCUUCCAUGUUGUUUUAUGAGUGGAUUGAUGAGUAAAUGAUGUGUUGUGAUGUUUCCAUGUAAUUCUGAGUUGUUUUUGGUGGUUGGUGUACAUUUUUCCAAGUUGGCCAAACUGUGGUCGGGCUGUCCAAACUGUCUGGCCGAGCUGGCCAUCCAAGUUUGGGAUUUUAUGGACCUUAGUUUUGAGGUUCUAGAACUCGAAUUGGAUGUUCGUAGGGUCUUUUGGGGGGGAGGGUGGGGGGUUUGAUGUUGGCCGAGUUGUUUGAGGUGUUGUUUGUAUUGUUUGUGUUUUGACUUAGCUGUAUAACCGUGUUGUUUGGAGAUCUAGUUUUCGGGGUCUUGGAAAUUAUUUUUCUGUAGUUUAGGUCGGCUUGGGGUUUUAGCACUUGGUCGAGCUGUCUAUGGUGUUUCUCGAUCUCUUUGAGAACUUUUUCAAACUGGUCUAAAUGAGGCUAAAUUGUCUAAAUUACUUGUUGAGUUGUGUGAUGUGAUUGCCAAAUCAUUGUAUGUGUGUGCCAAGUUGUUUGGAGUGUUAGUAGUGUUUGUUGAAUUGUUUUUUCUUAUUUUUGAUUGAUAAACCAUGUUGUUCUGUUGAUUGUAUUUGAGACUAUGCAUUGUAUAUCAUCUUACGUACUCUUUAUUCAUGAUGUGAAAAUUGUAAUGCUCUAAUUCUAGGUCUCACAAGUUAUUAAAAAAACUGAACAGUUAAAAACUUUUUAUAGCAUAGAAACAUAUUUUUCAAAAACCUGAAUAUUAAUAAAACAAAUCGUAAUAAUUUAAAAUCGGAUGUCUGAUUGUAUCAUUCAAAAAUCCAUUGAAAUGACCAAGAAAAACAAAAAUAAAUUCGAUUUUGUAGCUCCAUAGAAGGUCAUUAAGAAAGGCAUAUUUGUCUUCUUCAUUAUUGUUGGCUUCCUGCUAUUUUGCUAGUCUUUACAGGGAAAAACAUUUUAAUAGAAGACCACAUUCCUACUUAUGAAAGGUUCCUUAGUAUUGAUGUUAAGGACAAUAUAACAUUUGACACCAUUCUUAUAACCAAGAAAGACUCCUUUCCUAGCUCUAGGAUCGAGUUUACUUAUGUUGUUUUCAAGAGUGGAAGCAAAGGAUAAACACCCAAAGGUUUUUAAAUUGAGAUAAGUGGGAGGAGUAUCAUAUAUUAUGUCAUAAGGGGUUUUGCCAUUAAGAAUAGUGGAAGGUAGCCUAUUUAUUAGAUAUGUAGCAUGAGUGACAACAUAAGACCAAUAAACAUUAGGAACAUUGAUUGAAAAAGAAUACGAGUUAUAUUUAGUAUGUGUUGAUGUUUGCACUCUACAAUGGAAUUUUGUUGAGGAGUUUCAACACAGCUCUUUUGGUGAUCAAUGCCAUGAGAAUCAUACAAAGUAACAAAAUUAAAUUCAGGUCCAUUGUCAGAUUUAACAGUUUUAUCAAUCUUAUUAAAUAGGUUUUUAAUCCUUACAAUGAAAUUCUAUAGUAAAUCUAUAGUUUGGCCUUUAUUAUGCAUUAAGAAAGCCCAAGUAUGUGUACUGUAAUCAUAAACUAUAGUACGAAAAUAUUUAUAACCAUGAACAUAAGGAGUGAAAAUAGGACUCCAUAUAUCACAGUGAAUUAUUUCAAAACACUCAGUGGACAAAGAAACACUUUUAGGAAAAGACAAUUUAUGUUGUUUAGCAUAGUGCCAUGUAUCACAAACAGUAUUAGAAGUCAUUUGCACAUAAAGAAAAUUUUUACAUAUUUGUUCUAUAGUUUUGUGUCUUGGAUGCCUAAUCUAUAGUGUCACAAAUUUACAUAAAUACACUCAUAAGAGAAAACAAAUUUAUGAACAAAAAUUUGGUCUUAGAUGGGAAAAAACUAUAAGUAAUAGAGACCAUGGGAGACAUUAGCAGGCCCAAUCAUCUUUAAUGUAGAGUUGUCCCUUAUCUAACACAUCUCAAAGGAAAAUGUUAGAGUGCAAUUUAAGUCCUUAGUCUAACUUUGGACAUAAAUUAGGUUAAAAGAAAAGUCAGGAAUGUAUAAGACAUUAAAGAUGACAAAAUCUUUAGAAAAUUGAAUAGUUCUUGCAUGUUCAGCAAUGAUAGUAGAAUUAUUUGGAUGUUUGACAGAUACAUGUUUAAUUUUAUAAAAGGUGAGAAAGUGUUCUUUCUCAUGGGUCACAUGAUUAGUAGCCCUAGUGUCUAUAAUCCAAAAAGAGUUACCUUGUUUAUCCUCUAUUGUGUUUCUUUGUACUUGAUUAACCUUGUAUGAAGAAUCAUCAACCUUUUCUAUCAUUUUGAGUAGUUUUUUGCAUUUGUUCUGGGGUAAAAGAAUUGAAGGCAAGACUGGUGUUGACCUGUUGAAUGGGUUGUAUACCUUCUCGGGUAGAAUCACUCUUACAAAAUGUUGGCUGAAUUCCAGUCACUCUACCCCCCUUUGUCCUGAUUGUUGUCAUUCUUUCUUGUCUCUUUUGUUUAAUUGAGUGAAAUGUCCUAAAGCAAAUAUGAAAUAUAUAUUGAAGCAGUCACCUUUUGAGAAUCUUUCUAUUAAUGGAUCUCAUAAUUCUUUGGCAUCUUUAACAUAUAUAUCACACAUUUUUCCCAAUCAAAUAGAGCAUCACUUUUUUGAGGUUUCUUGAUUGAUCCAUCUAUGAAUUGAUGUUUUUUUUUUUUUGGAGAUGAGGGCUCUUCUCAUGUUUAUGCUCCAAGAAAAGUUUUUUCAUUUAAAACUUAAGAGAUAAGGGUGAGGCCUACAUUUUCUCCAAGAUGUAGGUAAAAAUGGUUGAGAGGUUGAUUGAUCUAUGUGGUCCAUUACACCAAGAAUGAACAAAGAAUAAAACAAGAAUUUUGUUUAAUUUGACACAAUGGAAGUAGAGCAGGCCUUACCAUAUUAAGAAUUGCAUGAAGAGAGAGGAGCUCGAGAAACCCUUUAGCGUAAAAGAGAAAAGGCAAACAUGAAGGAAACAGACGGGAAAAGGCUUCGAUGAUCAAGUAAGAACAAUUCAAAAUCCUUUCAUCAUAUUGUAUUUCAACACUUUGUAUUACAUUGAGAGAAUAAAAGACAACCCUAUUUAUAGAAUUCUCUUGAAGGGGAAAAAAAGGAAAAUCGAGAACUUUGAUUAAAAAAGUUAAAGAUUCUAACUAACAAAAUAAAUUUAUUAAUUACUUAUUGAUUAUCACAUUUAAACACAUUUAAACGAAACUAACUGAUUACUAAUUGAUCACUGCAUUUAAACAGUAAUCUAACCUAUUAAUGGAUUCUAACUUUUUCAAUACUUCUACGAGGUGAUAACAUGAUAGGAUUGGUUAAACACAUUAUUCAUCAAUGGCAGAGUUAGAAAAUAAUAUUUGUUACAUUAUCUAAGUGUUAAUGUUGAAAUCAUACUAUACACAUCUUUUUGAUUUACAACACUCACAUUUCUCUAUUGAUGAUGAUAUAAUGAAAGAAGUGUUUUUAUAAAAGAAAGUGAAUCAUGUGGAGAUCACAUAUAAAUAUAUGAUAGAGAGUUUCCUUACUAUAAUAAUUGGAAUCCUUGCUUGAAAGAGAAAAGCAUUAACACGAAGGACAUUCGUUUAGUAACUUUGUUUAAAUUAUCAACAUUUAACUCAUGUAUUUUCGUAUUUUCAAUUAGUUUAGUUGUUUCCAGUCGUAUUAAAAUUUUGUUUUUUCUUUUAAUAUUUACGUUUAUGUAAUUUAUUUAUUUUUAUUAUAAAAAAUAUUUUUUUUAUUAAAUUAAGAAAUUAUAAUGUAGAUGAGUAAUUAUAAAUAAAAAAAUUAAAAUUUGUUAAUCUCCUAAAUUUGAUAUUAGAGUUUAGUUUAAAAAGUUUUCACAAUUUAAUUAUGACGACUCUAAAAGCGAUGUUAAAAAACUUAUAUGCAAAUUCAGUUCCGCAAACUCCACAAAUUAAAAUAAAAACUUUCGGAUGAUUAAAAUAAAAACUGUCGCAUAUAUAAUUUUUGUCUAAAUGGAUUCACAUUUCAUCAAAGAAAAAGCUAAAAUUAAUUAUUAUUAGGUUUAAUUAUUUCGGGAUUUCUAUUUCAUCAUAUUUGUAUCGGAUUUUUAUAUUUUGAAAGUUUUAAAUUGGGUCUCUAUUUUAGUAGAAUUGAGUCAAUAAUUUCUUACUGUGGGCGAUGUUAACUUUCUUUCAAAAGGUAUUAUUUAAUUAUGAUGUGACACAGUAUGAGGUUAUUGCAUGCAUAUUUAUAUCAUUUUAAAUUUUAAAAUACACGGAAAGAGCGUAAUCGGUGGUUGACGACAGAGGCGACGAGAGCCCUGCGGAGGCAUGGCGGGACACGACUAGGGCGCAUUUCUUCUUCUUCUCUUCGAUCUGAUUUGUGGGGGCAAGGAGGAAGCUUUCGGGAUUACUGUUCGUUAUUUCAUUUUUGCGAAUUGGGAUAGUUGUUGUACUUCUUUUCUGCAAAUGCGUUUUAAAGUUUCACUGUUGCGAUAUUGAGGUUACAGUUCAGACUGAUAACAUUAAGUAUUAAGUUUGGGUAUUCGUUUUUGUGUUCUCUUCGCACCUACUUGCUCCACGACGGCGAAUUUCCAUGGAUGAGCUUGCCUGAAAAUGAUGAGGAAGAAGCGACUCUGAACGACGACCUCACGCUUAAUCGCGAUUACAUUUUCUCUGAUUGGAAGAUGCGAGUUAAUGGUGGUGAUGCGAGUUAAUGGUGAUGAUGCAGUGUUGCGCCACAAAUUCUGAUUUUCGUUUCAGGUUCGCUGAGUCGCAAUUGAGAAACCAUGAUUUGGGUUUUCAAUUUGAGUUUCUGUUUUUGGAUUUGCAAGUCUGACAAACAAAAAAAUUCACGAUUAGUACUUUCACAGCUGUGCUUGGUGGCGAAUUCUUGUAUGCAGGACAUGGAGAAGAUAAUGGAGUGCAUGGAGUAGAUUCUCGCACAAGAAGGGGUUCUAUGGUUUGAUUUUUUUUAGGUUGCUUACGAGAAGAGUGAUAGAAAACUUGCGAUCAUCAUAGAGAUUCACGGCAAAAGUUGGAGGGACGGCUGCCCACGAGAUGAAGGUGGUAUGUUUUAGUUGCUUAAUCUCAUACUCGUAAUUAAAGCAUAUUUUAACAUGUAAUUAAUGGCAAAGAUUCAAUUGAUAGGAAUAUGUAAAAUACGAGGACCCAAUAAUUAAUACUAUACAGUAAUAAGAAACCUUAAUAUUAUUUGUGGUAAAUUUUGUCGUAAUUUUUGUCUAAAUGAAUACACAUCUCAUUGAUGUUAGUGUUAAGAUUCUGUUUCUAAAAUGAAUCCAAUAAUUAUUGAGAUUUGUCUCUUUAGAAUUAACUGAUUAAUAUUUUCAUUUGAUUAGAAUUAAUUGAUUAAUAUUUUCAUCUGACUAAUAUUUCCAUAAUAGUAGCUUAUUAGUAAUUAUAACAGGUCCAAUGAACUAAUUAUUCAGUGUGAGAAAUAAUAGAUCAAUUGAUUAUUUGUGAGCUACAAUAUUAUUAUUUUGGCGUUUUGAUUGCUAACUAUUUUGAAUUAUGCUCAUCUGUGAAUAUGUAGUUGUAGCAGUUUAUUGUUUUUACUUGAAUAAAAAAAGACUUGAUCAGAUUUCAACCAUGAACAAUAAUUCAAUUCAUGAAUUGAUUUCUCAUAUACACUUCAUUUUUUUUUUUAAUUUUAAAUCAUUCAUUAAUAAAUACUUUUUGAACUUUUAUUAUUUUAUUAUAAAGUAUGAUGUAUUUGAUUUAUACACUUCUAGAUUUGUUUAAAAUAUUCGUUAUACGUAGAAAAAGAUGUAGUUAAAGACGUAACUUUAUUUCUUAUACUUAGGUAUAAAAGGAAAAACAGACUCUUCCUUCUCACAAACUAGAACAACAUAUUAUAUUAUAUUAUAGUUUAUAGUAGUCGACCCUCGCAUCAUCAUGGAAUGCAUAUUAUUUUCAGGCACCAACAAAAACUAGCAAACUAAAGAAACAACAAGACAUAUAAAGUACUAGGGAGGAGUGAUUAGUUAGCUUCAUUUCUUGUGGUCCAUGUCCAUGUUCCUGUUGAUGUUGGUCGUGUUCCUUCCGCUGUCAGGACCAGCAUCUGCAUUUCCUUGGCGAUCAGGAGGUGCGCCAGUGGUGGAAUACGCAGUGCUGUAUUCAAAUCCAGAGGCUCCGUAGUUGGGGCCACUGUAGGGUCCUCCCGUAGGUGGGGCUCCAUAACCAGCAUUCCCUAUGUUCCCAUAAGCGUAGUUGGCCACUGGGUCUAUUGCCGUUCUGCUUCCGAACUCGUCUCUCCACCGAUCCCACUCGUCGUUGUUCUUGCAAAUAUCAGGGUUAUUGUGACGAACGUCAUAGUCUCUCUGAUCGGUACCGGAUUCCUCUCUGUUGGGUUGUUGAUGUGCCAUUUGGAAGACAACCAAUGCUGAUGAUCUGUGAGUUUGAGGUUGUCUUUCAUAUACUCAGAGGUUAGGCGGUGGUGAGUUAGGGCAAAUGACACCUUAGGUUAUCAGCAUCUGCCACGUUGCUUUUGACUCAUUUCUUCUCAACACGUAGGUUCUCACAAUUUUAACAUGGUUUAUAAUAAGAAGCUUUAGAACCUUCUCAUUACAUUCCAGACUUCAUAAAGUUUCAUUUUUUACAUGUAACCUUUUAGUUAUAUACAGUAAUAUUUGUU